AGGCGUGUAGCUGCAAAAGGAGAAGGAUCGGGAAACGAUUGACGAACGAAACAAACGAGAAGGCGAUGGAAGAUAGGAUCGUGGAAGAAUCAGUAAGAAAAAAAAGAAGAAAUGCGUAAUGGUGAAAAAAUUUGAAGAGUUUGUUGCAGUGAAAGGAAAGUAAAGAAACUAGAUGGAAGAAAGCAUGGCGAUGAAUGAAAUUAGGGUUUGUAAGAAGAAGAAGAAAAGAGCGGUUGGGAGGAAGAAGAAGAAGAUAUUAGAUAUGGGUAACCCGCAAUCGGUUUUUGUUAUAAUGCUCUCUCUCUUUCUUUUUAUUUUUAAUUUUCUUUCCAAGGAGAGGAUGCGGUAAUGGUGAGUUUAUUGCUGUUGUUGUUGGUUGUGUACGUGUGUGAGUGUUGUUGUGUGUGUGAGACUAUGCACCAUGCAAAUGUGGCUUCGUAAUAUCCAAAGGCAUGUAUAAUAUUUUAUUAUCAAAAAUGUUUUUUUUUAUAUCAUGAUUUUAAAACUUUUUAAAUUGUUUUUCUAUCAGUUAUAUCAAUGGCUAUAAAUAGUAAAUUAUAUUUGUUAUAUUGUAUUGCAAAUAAUUAUGGAGUAUUUUUUAUUAAUAAAAUAUAUUUAUUCACUUAAAUUGAAAAUAUAUAUAUAUUUAUAACAAUACAAAUCCAAUAUUUUAAAAGUUAAAAAUAAUAAAUUUACAAAUAGGCUCAUAAAAUUUAAGUUAAUACCAUUAAAUGUGAAGAUGUCAACAAAUUGACAAGAGAUUGGAAGAGAUUGGAUAAUGUCGCACCAAAAUGAAAGAACAACAAAAUGUCAUAUUUAGGUGAUAAAAGCACGAAAGAUGCAAAGAAUUUUUUUUUUUUUUUUUACGUAUAUAAAUGGGUGGUAAAUGAAAGAACAACAAAAUGUCAUAUUUAGGUGAUAAAAGCACGAAAGAUGCAAAGAAUUUUUUUUUUUUUUUUUACGUAUAUAAAUGGGUGGUAAAGUAAUUCUAAUGGAUGAUUUCACAAUUGAAAAAAUAAUUAACAACGCUCCUCUUUAAUACAUGAAGAAAAAAAUAGCAGUUAGAGAGAAUGUGGAACUUCUCUCAAAAUUUAAGGUUGACUUACAAAUAACUACUACGAUCAUAACUAUGGAUUUGAUAUUGAACAAUUGUAAAGGUAUUUUAAGCAUGUCUUCAAUGACAAUGUGUUCUCAUCGAAUGUCUUAGUCAAUUCUUGAUGCAUUUGUUGUAUUAAAUUUGAUCAAAAAGAAUGAUGAUAACAUUGUUAGUGGUAUUUUAGAACAUCAAAGCAAAAUCUUUAAACAAGCUUUAAAAAUAAUUUUUGAUGUGUCAAUUACAUACGUCGUGUUUAAAAUGUGAUGUGAUUAUUGUUACAAUUCUAAAAUCGGAUUAUAUUGUUGAGGUCAAUUGUUCCAUAACUUUCCUACAUGAAAGAUUGAUGUUGGAGAAAAAUGAUAUUUAUCUCAUCUUAGAUGACUUGCAUGACAAAUUAAACAAUGUUUGGAAGGUGUCAGGCAAAUAGUCUUUUAUAAAUAUUGGUAAGGGGUUAUUUAUUUUCACUUUUUUUAUCUAUUGAACAUUUACGUAUAGUUUUUAUUACGAGAGUGUGUAUCCUUACGUCGAAAAUACUUUGUUAUUUUCUUGGAUGUCGGAUUUCAACACAAGCAUAAUACAAAACACUAAUGUUCAAUGUUGAAUUAGGUCUCACAAUUUUCCUUUUGAAUAUUGGAGGUCUACGACUCUAUUUACUAUUUUAUACGGGUAAACAUUCUUCUACCCUUAGAUAAAGCCAUCACUAGCAAAAAGCUCAAGUAUUUUGCUAUAAUGAUGAUGUAUUAACCUUUUGAACUCUUAAAUGACUCUCUUUCGGUAGAAAUUAGAGGUUAUGUUUUUAAUGUUGAUAUAGAAUACAAUACACUCGUAAUGUUUUACAUUUCUUAUCAGACAACUUAUCAUUCUUUGAAAGAUUAUAUAAGACAAAAGUGUGUAGAUGAAUAGUCGACUCGGGAAUAUAUUAGGGGGAAAACUCAUUACUAAACAUAUCCUUAAGAAAGUCAUUUUAUAGUCACCAAGUGAUACUUAACUAGAAUCACAUAGGUUGUGGGUUGAAGUCAUUCAUGGUCAAGAGGUCGUCGUCUUUUGGAUGUGACAUCUCUAUAGUAAAAUCAACCAAGAGUUUGGGAUUUUAUGGGCCCUAUUGGUUCUAAGUCGGUAUAAAAUUUAAAGAGUUCCAUUAACCAUGUAACAAUUUGCUUAGGUAUGAGCCAAAGCCCAACUAACUUUAGUUCAACCCAAUAUUGGACCUCUUAUGAACCAUAUUGACUAAAUGUCUAUGGACCUUCGUAUCUAAGCAUCAAAAGAUACUGAGGUCACUUUUCUCAUUUCGCUUAUCUAUAUAAUGUAUCCACAAUAAGGUCCUAAUACUGUGGAACCUAUGAUGGAUAUGUUAUAUAAGUGCACUUGAUUGGAGCAAAUAGAAUUAAUUUAUCCUCAAACUAUAAUUGGCAGGAUCCCCUGACAUGUGUCCUUUCUUAUAUUUGUCUAAAGUAUAAUGUUAUAGGUUCUUGAAAACCAUAUGACCUCACUAUAAAUAAUGACAAAUGGGUCACAUAAAGGUGCACAUUAUUGUAACAUUAAAUAUCUCUCGCUUCCUAUUGUCAUUGACUUGUCUGUCAGAGUGUUUGCAUGUAUCCCCAGGGUCGAAGCACAAAAAUACAAAACUUCAUGUUAGAGAAUACCAUUGCAUCUUAGUUCACCGCCACAUUUGUAAACCUUGUCGAUUUUCUCAAAAUCACUAUUUUCCCUAAAUAUUCGCCUUCGACGAAAUUUUCUGAAUGAGAAAGUAUUUACUCACAAUAACUAUUUAUGACUAGUCGUAAUGUCUAAAUCUUUGAGCUGAUAAUAUUAAGAAAAAGGUUAGUUACUCGUAUUUUUUGUAUAGUAUAUAUGUUAUUUGUACCAUUUUGCUCAUAAAAUACAAUGGUUAUUGUGUUUUUUCUAUUUCCUUUACACAAGCCAAAUUGGUUAAUAUUUUAUGGAUGUUAAGAAAAAAUUUAACUUAACACAAGUUGUUAGCAUAAUUAUUACUAAGGGUUAUGAAGGAACUUAUUCAAGUCAUCAAAGGCUUGUUCCCAUUGGGAAGUCCAUUUAAAGUGUUCUUGCUUUUAGAGGACUUAUAGAUUUGCAAUGAGUGAUUUGUUGAUUUGGAAAGGAAUCAUGAUAUAAAUAUUAUUUGUUUCGCUAGUUGUCACACUUCUUUGAUGGAUUUCAGACACUAUGUCAAUAGUAUUGCCCUGCAUUUCUUAGUAUUAAAUUUUAUCUACCUUUAGGCGAUCAUGAAUCCUAAUAAAUUGCUUACUUAAACCCAUAAAAUGCACUUUAUAUGUUCAACCUCAUUUUAUACUUUAGAAUGUGUCCAAGUAUGAUUCGCAAGUCCUUAAAGUAAGGCUCAGUACUUAUGGUCCUGAUCAUCGUGUCAUCCAUGUACUUAUGCACACCUUGUUAUUAUUCUUUAUUUGCUUCCCAUAUAUUUUGUUCAUGAGUCUAUAGUAAAUGGCUCGUGCAUUGUUUAACCCAAGGACAACAUGGCAGUCAAAGUUCAGCAUAUCUAUCAUGAAAGUUGUUUUUAUGCAUUUGAUGCAUUCAUCAUGAUUUGGUUGUAGCCUUAAGAGAGAAAGUAGAGGAUCUGACAACUUGAUGUAUUAUCUACCAACAUAUCAUUAUAUAUAUAUAUAUAUAUAUAUAUAUUUGGCAAUAAUAUGGGCCUUUGGAGCAUGCAUUGUUCAGAUCUCUACGCAUUUUCCACUUAUCAUUUUUUAUAGUGUUAUAAUGUUGGCCAACCACGACAAAUAUGUGAUUUCUCAAAUGAAAUUCGCAUUUGCUAACUUUUGAGUUUCCUAUUUGGAUGUAUCUUGAUUCUCGCUUGCCAACAUUAUUUUAUUAUGAACCAUUGUUCAUACGAUAUGGUUGAUGGCUAGAUGGUGGGAUAUCACCUUUACACUAAUACAUGACAUGUCAGUUAUGCUUCAUGCAAAUAGGUUUGAGUUGUUCCUCAAUGUUUGGGGCAGAGUGACUUCCUCUUCAAACAAUAGCCAUGAGUCAAUCUUUGUGAUCUUGUCAUCGACUAUUAUCUUAACCAUUUUCACCUUCUUUUUAGGUUCAUGCUCGUCGUUGUUUUCUUCCUUGAGGUCUAGUUCUAUUAACUUUUCACUAAUCUUCGUAGUUUUUUUUUAUCAGAUAGCUUUUUCAUAUUGAUUGAAGUCACUUUAGUUUUAGUUAGGUUAUUGACGUGGAAAUGUUCAAUCACCUAUAGGUUUUUAUGCAUGGUGGAGAUUUUACCAUAAUUAAGAGAGAACUUCAUCGUAAGAUGUGUCAUUUAUAUGAUGGCUUCAAACAUAUUUAGUCUUUGUUGUUUAAUGGUAAAUUGUAUGAUGAAUUUACCUUCACCAUUAGCAAAGUUGGCUUGUAAUUGCUUUGAUCUGGCGUAUGUUGGAAAUGUCCUCUCGUCCAUAUGAAUCACUUGACUUAUGCAUCAUAUAUCGAUUAUCCCACUUAUAUGUCCUUUUUAGGGUUUGAAUAUUAUUGUAGGUAACUUCAACUGCUUGUACACUUAUCUGAAUAUGAUACCAGUCGAGCUUCCUUAAUUGACCAUACUUCUUUUGAUAUUGCAGUUUGUCAUGAUUAUUAAUGGCUCGUGAUCAUUAUAAAUACAUGAUAUGCUUUUAUAAUGUUUUUUUUUUAAUUUUAGUAUAUUUUGGUUAUGUUGAAGUAAUAAAUUAUAUAAAUUCACAUUGUGGAUUAUAUUAAAAUGGACUCAUUGUUUAUGCUUAAUUCUCUCUAGCUAGAUAAUUUUAUAGUUUUUUUUUAUUAUCAGUUAUUAGCUUGACAAGUUGUUCGGUCACUACAAGUAAUAUCAUGAAGUUAUGGAGAUGUGAAGUCAUAAAUUAUAAAUAAUAAAGUUUUAGGGUAGGUGGGAGAUCUUGUCUCACCCGUGAGAUGGAUGAUCUAUUUGCAUAACGCCUACAUAAAGUUAUUUUUACCAAAUCCUCAUUUCCUGGUCAACAAAGAGCCUAUAGUUUGGCAUGAGGUGGACAAUCAAGUUCUAAUUGGCCCAUGUAUAAAGUCAACUUUGCUCUGAAUAACAAAAUCAUACUUUGAAGACAAAUAACAUGAAAGAAUUAUGUUUUGAAUGCUAAUAGUGGUUAUUCUGGUCCUUGGAAGCAAGCGUGACAAUUUAUACUCAAUCUUUGUAAAUUUAUAACUUAUGCAACUCAUUGUUUAUGAUAGUUAUUGCUAUGAUCAUUGAUAUGAAACUCUUUUUUGUUAUUUGAAGUAUGGUUAUUUGGUUAUUCUUGUGUGCAAUGUUUUUCUUUAUUUGAUCACCAUUGAAUUUAUUUUAAGGAUUAAUUCGCUACUAGAUAUGUGUAUUAUAAUUUGACCUAUAAUUUAUGCUUUUAAUUAGUUUACUUUUAGACAUUUUAAUUUCAAUUGCAAACAAUUCCAUAUGAAAAAAAAACCCUUUAUUUCAUAAGUAUUUAUAUGAUCGAUGAGUAAUCCAAAUUAAUCAUAAUUUUCAUUAAUACAGCUUUAUUUAUUACUUGAUGACACUUUUGGUAUAUUUGUUAAACAAAUCAUCAAGUUUUUGACAUUGUUGUUGAUGGUUGUUGAUUGAUUUGAUCUUGUCUCUCUUUUGUUUAUGUUGCGGUAAUGCUUGGGUGUUUUCUUGAUUUUUAAGCAACAAGGAAACUCAAUUGGACUAUUAUACAAUCCUAAAAUUGAGAAGACUACCAAAGCCAAUUAAAAAAAUACUAAGAUUAGCAAGACAGUAAGCCGGAGAAGAAAGAAGAUCAAUCGUGUCAGAAACUCAUUUAGAUAAAUAAUAAAUACAUAGUGAGAUUGAGAAGAUUCUAUAUUUGUCGAGACGAUCAUUAGAUGGCAAUGGAAUGGGAAAUCAACAAAGAUUUAUCAUUAAUGAGUUUUAACCAAAACACAUAGUAGUGUUCUAUGACACGGGGGAUUUAACUCUCAUUUCCCUAAGAGAAUAUCAAUAUUUAGGAAAGUAAUAUGAAUAUCCAAAUGAGAAUUUUAAUCAAUUAUAUGAAAUUGUAAAACAACUAGUCUACUUAGAGUUUCAAAAGACGAAGAGAAUUUCAAAAAAUGGGAUUUCAUCAAAUUCAAAACAAAGUUGGUUUUAUGCUAACUCAAAUGUUCAACCAAAUAUAAACAUGAAGCAAACAAAAUUCAUAUGAUAAACAUAAAUUUAAAUUAAAAAAAUAAUAGACAAACAAGAUCAUUGGUAAACAUAGUAGUUUAGUUCUUUCUAAUGUCCUAAAAUUAAAAAAACUCUUGAUCAACUUUGAAAUAAAUUUGGUUUUAUGCCAACUCAAAUAUUCAAAAAAAAUAUAAACAUGAAAUAAACAAAACUCAUAAAAUAAACAUAAAUUUAAAUUGAAAAGUAGUGGACAAACAAAAGCAUUGGCAAAUACGAUGAUUUAGUUCUUUCUAAUUAUCAUAUAAUUCAAAAACUCAUGUGGAUUUUCAACGAUGAAUACUAUAACAUCUUCAACUUCUAGCUUGCUAUAUUUGGCGAAUUAAUUAAUACUAUUUGACCCUAUAUACAUACAUAUUUUUUAUAUCCCUAGUAGCGCGAAUGUCGUCAUAAUAUUCACAUUUUCCAUCUUUUUCGAUUUUGGUAAUGAUAUUUGUAAUAUGUGGAGUAAAACAAUCUUAUGCAAUGUUUUUUUUAACAUGCUACCGUAUAAAAAGUAAUAGAAAAAGCUUAAUGAUAAUAAAAAAAAAAUAGGUGAACUUUAAUAUUUAUAGCUAAUACAUGUCAAUACAUUGUUUUUUUUUUAAUUGAUUGUGUGACAUUUAGUACCUCUUAGUAUUUUCUGAAGGAAAAUAGCGAUCCAAAACGUAGCGAAAAUUAAAAUUCUCCUUUAGUGAUCCUUACGAAUGAGCAUGAUCAAUGAUAGAAAUCGUUACCUCUUGUGGCGAUUGAAACCUUCGAUGCAGAUUUAAGGAGUGAUCAUGAGCGUUGAAUGGUGACAACGCCUCUACUCAGUCCACACGAACGAAUUCCUUCAAUCUCAGUGCUAGCUGCUACGAAUGAAGGCUUUGAGAGAGAGAGAGAGAGAGAGAGAGAGAGAGAGAGAGAGAGAGAAAGAAAUAGAGAAAUGAAAUUUCAUCUAAUUAAAUGCUUUUGCACAAGGGUUCUAUUUAUAGAACCACUUGUGUGGGCUGCAAGCUAAAAAGCCCACUUAAGUGUAUGUGGCCCAUAUCUUAUAAUAUACCAAAAAUCACUUAAGCGCGUGGUACCUUACCACAUUUCAUAGUCUACUUAAGUGCAUCGUACCUUACGAUGUUCUACAAUUCACUUAAGUGCAUCGUACCUUACGGUGUUCCUUAUUUACUCUAUCUCUCAUCAAUCCGUCCUUUUGUGUGUGACCCUAUAGGUUUUCGCGACAUUGGCAAUUAUAUUAAGUCACGUAUUUAACAUAAUAAACAGUGAGUGAUAUCUAGCAACACAUCACUGCUACCUAAGACACAAAAAUGUCAUGUGAUCUGACAAAUCCUUUUAUGAUAAUACUUGUGUGUACAAUUACCCUUUUUCUCUUAUGUCUAUAUUGAACACAAGGCAUAGACUGUGUCAUCCUUAUCCAGUUCAAUAUUGGGCCCUUAGACAUUUAUCUUGUUAUGCAAGAUGGGCAAAAUUCAUAUAGGUCACUCAUGUCCCUCAACAUGCUUCGUGGAGUACCCAUCAAUUGUCUUUAUGGUCAUCCAGUUACGGAUGACGUUUGAUCAAUAAUAAAGCACUUGACUCUACAUCUAGGGUACAUAGUGGUUUUCAGGUCGAAUGGUGGUAUACACCACUGUCACCAUGAGAAUAACUUAUGACAUUUUGCAUAACAUUCUAUGUAGUAUUCUCAUAGCGGGUUAAUCCAGUAUAAAUAUUACUCCUAAUAUUCAUACUUAUGUUUAAGACUUGAUAACUCCUUAUUCAUGAUCCAUGAGAUGUGACGAUCAGUCUAUAUACAUAAUAGUCUUAAUGCUUUAAUGUUAUCCCACUUCACAAUAAAGCUCGACUACGGAUACUUCAAGUAUAGUGUCCUUAUGUUUAAUGGGAUCUCAUGAUUAAGUCACACUUGAUACAUUAAACAGACCAGUUAUUCUAGGGACUUUAUUAAACAAAUAUAAUAAAGAAAAAGUAUUUUAUUAUUUAUAAAUAAUUCGACACAAGUACCAAAAGUAUUGGCCUCUAGGGCUUACACCAACCAUCUCCCACUAGCACUAGAGCCAAUAAGGCAUACCCCUAAUACCCAUAGAUCUAGUAUGUCCAUCAUGCUUCUACUGCGCAAGAGGCUUUGUUAGUGAGUCAGCAAUAUUGUCAAGUAUAGGUACUCUGCAUAUUUUCACAUCUCCUCUAUCUAUUAUCUGUUGAAUGAGGUGAUAACGCAUAAGUAUGUGUUUGGAUUGUUGGUGAGAUAUAGGCUUAUUAUCUUGUGCGAUAACACCAUUGUUAUCACAAUAGAGAUCAAUGAGAUCCACAAUGCUAGGAACUAUGCCAAGUUCACUAAUGAACUUUUUAAUCCAAACUAUUUCCUUUGCUGCACUUGAGGCAGCAAUAUACUCGACCUCGGUUGUAGAAUCAACAAUUGUAUCUUGUUUUGAACUUUUCCAGCUCACAACGCCACCGUUUUAGUAGAACACAUAACCAAAUUGCGAUCUAAAGUCAUCCUUAUCUGUCUGGAAGCUAGCAUCGGUGUAUCCAAUUACAGCAAGCUCUUCCUGACCUCCAUAUAUCAAGAAUGAGACCUUAGUCCUUCUCAAAUACUUAAGGAUAUUCUUGAUAACUACCCAAUGAGCAUCACCAGGAUCAGAUUGGUACCUACUCGUUGCACUUAAAGCAUACGAGACAUUUGAUCAAGUACAUAGCAUGGCAUACAUGAUAAAUCCUAUUGCAUAUGCAUAUGGAAUCUUAUUCAUGCGAUCCAUUUCUUCCUUAGUUGAAGGGGAUUAUGUUUUUGAUAGACAUAUGUCAUGUUGCAUAGGUAUGAAUCCUUUCUUGGAAUCAUGCAUAUUAAAGCGUCUUAACAUUUUGUCUAUGUAUGCACUCUGACUUAGGCCAAGCAGUUUUUGUGAUCUAUCUCUAUAGAUCUUGAUUCCUAAUAUAUAGGUUGCUUCACCUAGGUCCUUCAUAGAAAAGCAUUUCCCCAACCAAGACUUUACUUGUUGCAGGGUAAGGACAUCGUUUCCAAUGAGUAAUAUGUCAUCUACAUAUAAUACUCUAAUAUAUAGGUUGCUUCACCUAGGUCCUUCAUAGAAAAGCAUUUCCCCAACCAAGACUUUACUUGUUGCAGGGUAAGGACAUCGUUUCCAAUGAGUAAUAUGUCAUCUACAUAUAAUACCAGGAAGAUGAUCAUGCUCCCACUAACCUUCUUGUAGACAUAAGGCUUAUCUUCAUUCUUGAUGAAUCCAUCUUGUUUUACUGUCUCAUCAAAAUGAAUAUUCCAGCUUCUGAAAGCUUGCUUCAAUCCAUAGAUUGAUCUCUGUAACUUACAUAUCUUUUGGGCUUCUUCUGGUAUGUCAAGUCCUUCAGGUUGUGUCAUGUACACAUCCUCAAGAAGAUUCCCAUUAAGGAAAGUAAUUUUGACAUCCAUCUGCCAUAUUUCAUAAUCAUGAUAUGCAACGAUAACAAGUAAAACCCGAACAGAUUUAAGCAUUGCAAUUGGUGGAAAGGUUUUAUCAUAGUCAACUCCGUGAAUUUGUUUAUAUCCUUUUGCAACCAGUCUUGCCUUAUAGGUAUGUACCUUACCAUCCAUGUCACUCUUCUUUUUAAGGACCCACUUGCAUCCUAUAGGGUUAACUCCUACAGGAGGCUCUACCAAGGUUCAAACCUAGUUUGUGUACAUGGAAUCCAUUUCAAAUUCCAUGGCUUCUAGCCACUUCUCUGACUCGAACCAAUUAUGGCCUCUUGGUAGGUCACAGGCUCAUCUUGAUCCAUGAGUAUACAUCACAUUGAUCAGUUAUGAGAUAUUCAUAUCUCUCAGGUAUGUGACAUAUCCUGCUUGACCUACGCUGGUCUUGUUUUACUUGAGCAGGUUGCUUUUCCAUAAUUACUUGUGUUUCCUGCUUUAAUUCCUCCAUAUGUGUAUCAAUGCUUUGUGAUUCUUGAAUUUCUUCAAGAUCUACUUUCCUCCCACUAAUUCCUUUGGAAAUAAAAUCCUUUUAUAGGAAAACUCCAGUUCGAGCGACAAACACUUUGUCCUCAGAAGGAUUGUAGAAGUAACACCCUCUUAUUUCUUUAGGAUACCCCAGAAAUAAGCAUUUGUCAGAUUUGGGCUCAACCUUAGUUGAAAUUUGUCGUUUCACAUAAGCUUUGCAACCCCAAAUCUUCAUGUAAGACAUAUGUGGUCUCUUACCACUCCAUAUCUCAUAUGGUGUCUUCUCAACCUUUUUGGAUGGAACACGGUUAAGUGUGUAAGCUGUUGUCAAUAGUGCAUGUCCUCAAAAGGAGUUUGGAAAGAUCGACGUGACUCAUCAUGGAUAGACCAUGUUUAACAAGGUUUAAUUUCUUCUCUUAGAUACACCAUUCCAUUGGGGUGUUCUAAGAGGAGUAAGUUGGGAUAGAAUCCCACAAUCUUAUGGUCAUCAAACUCUAGGCUUAAAUAUUCACCACCUCGAUCUAAUCGAAGAGUUUUAAUAUUCUUACCUAGUUGGUUUUGUACUUCAUUCUUGAAUUCCUUGAACUUUUCAAAGGACUCUGAUUUUUGUUUCAUUAAAUACACAUAACCAUAUAUACUUAAGUCAUCAGUAAAUGUGAUGAAGUACUGAAAACCUCAUAUGCCUGGUAUGUUAAGUGGUCCACAUACAUUAGUAUGUAUGAGGGCCAAAAGAUCAUUAGCUCUUACACCUUUUCCUGUGAAUGGAGUCUUUGUAAUCUUUCCAAUUAAACAAGAUUUGCAUGUCUCAUAUGAUUCAUAAUCAAAAGAGUCAAAGAGUCCAUCUUUAUUGAGUUUGCAAAUUCGUUUCUCAUUUAUGUGGCCUAGUCGACAAUGCCAAAGGUAAGUUGGAUUUAACUCAUCAGGUUUCAUUAUUUUAGUAUUAAUGUUAUAAAUAGGCAUUUUAAUAUCAAGGACAUAUAGUCCAUUAUUCAUUUGUGCAGUAGCAUAGAAUAUAUCAUUCAAAUAAAUGGAACAACAACUUUUCUUUAUUAUAAAUGAAAAAACAAACUUGUCCAAACAAGAAACGUAAAUAAUAUUCCUGCUAAUUACAGGUACAUAAUAACAGUUCUCUAACUGAAUUAUUAAACCACUAGGUAAAGUUAAUACAUAAGUUCCUACGGCUAAAACAACAAUCUUUGCUCCAUUGCCAAUUUGUAGGUCAACUUCACCUUUUUCCAAAUCUCUACUCCUUUCUAGCCCCUGCACACUAGUACAAAUGUAAGAAUCGCAUCCAGUAUCUAAUACCCAUGAUGCAGAAGUAGAUAGAUUAAUUUCAAUAACAAAAAUACCUGAAGUUGAAGUCUCUACUCCAUUCUUCUUAUCUUCCAGGUACUUAGGGCAGUUUCUCUUCCAGUGUCUGGUCUUACCGUAAUGGAAGCAAGUGCCAUCCUUUGCUAUACCUCCACUAGGCUUCAAAGCAUGAGCAGUGGGUUUGGAUUUGGCAACUUCCUUGCUUUUCCCUUUACCACCCUGCUUGGUGGGCCUUUUGUUAUGUCUCUUUCCAUUUCCGAUCAUCAAAAUGGACUUCCCUUUUGACUUCAAAUUCUUCUCAGCAGUUCUUAACAUGCCUAGCAGUUCAGGAAGAGUUUUGUCCAUAUCAUUCAUGUUGAAAUUAAGGAUAAAUUGACUGAAGCUAUCUGGCAAUGAUUGCAAGAUCAAAUCAGUCGCAAGUUCCUUUCCGAGGGGAAAAUCCAACCUCUCAAGGUUCUCCACAUACCUAAUCAUCUUGAGCACAUGGGGACCUACAGGGGAUCCCUCAGCUAACUUGCCUUGAAAAAGGGCUUUUGAAACUUCAAACCUUUCAUGCCUUGCCUGCUUUUGAUAGAGCAUCUUCAGGUGUCCGAUCAUAUCAAACGCUGCCAUGUUCUCAUGUUGCUUUUGCAACUCCGAGUUCAUGGUAGCUAGCAUGAGGCAAGCGGUUUCAUUGGCAUCAUCGACAUGCUUCUUAUAAGCAUCUCUUUCUGCCUUAGGUGCAGAACUAGGAGGUUCCUCUUCAGGAACAGAUUUCUCCAAGACAUCCAACUUUCUAUCAUGCUUGAGGAUAAUCCUCAGAUUUCGGUGUCAAUCCAGAAAAUUUGUCCCAGAAAAUUUUUCCUCAUCAAGGAUUGAUCGUAAAAUGUUGUUAAAGGUGUUUUUUGUCAUGGUAAUCUACAUGAAAAAUAUGAAAAUAUAAGUAUCAUUAAAAUAACAUAUUUAAUUAGGCCUUUAAUUAAAUAUGCUUCCACUAUUUUACUCAAAACAAAUGACCCUCACCAUUUGAUUCGAAAAAUCCCGUUAGAAGAUUUUAUAAUGGGUCGAGAUCCACAUUUCACUUUGUUUUAAGUCCGCAUAGGCGGAUUACACAAAACUAGGUUAUUUAGGUAGGAACUUCUUCCAAUUGUAUCCAAUACAACUCUCGAAUAUUUAGUUGGGUGAAUAACUUCUUAUUCCAAUCCAUCAUAUGGAUCAUUUCCAACUCUUGCUUCUAAACGUAUAUAAUCUUAUUAUAAUUUGUUUAGUUAAGUUUAACCCAUUGUUUUAGCAAUUGGAUAUUACAAUUAUCCCAUCGCACCUUACUAAUAUAGAACACGCACCUCGCGUAGGCGAAACCUACAUUAUUCGAUACUAGUCUUGAUGAGUGCUAAAACUUGGAAAGUAUAAACUUAAUAUUUAAUUUAAGGGAAUUUGCAAUUAUUUUGAUCUCACCGGCUUAUUUAUAAAUCGUCUUUCACAUGCAUCAACAUACAUACAAAAUGAAACAGUUAUAGUCAAUGAGAGAAUCUAAGCAAACCUAAAAACGAUAUAAGUUUCUCUAAGCAAGAUCUUGAAGGUUGUCCUCUUUUGAUAUUAUAUUCUUCUAUUUCUUCAUAACAUUACAUUACAUAAAAGAAACUCGUUUUACAUACGAGGGAGUGAGAUGAGAAAAGAAGUUACAUUAAGAGAUUAAAAGAGAGGUACGACAUGCGAGUCAUAUUUUAAAAUCCCAAAAACAAAAUAAAGGAAAACUAAGAUCAUAAUUGAUCACCACAAGAAAAUAAUAAUAAACACAUUAUUAUUAUUAAUUUAGAUCCUGUUAAUUAAAUAAACCAAAUUAAAUUUUGGCGACUGAUCACACUAUGCAGAGUUAGCCAGGGGUUCCGCUGCCCGGUCAGCGGACGAGGGUCAAAGGGGCAGCGCCCCCUGUGGGGUUGUUAUGGGCAGCGCCCUGACACAAAAUUUUAAUGAACAAUUCAUUUGAAACCGACAUCGAUUUUCGCAUCAACACUUGAUACUUAAAAGCAUAACUCUUGUGCAGUCACAACCCUAAUCGCAUAACUCUUUGACAACAUAAUCAUUAUACUGUCAUGAAGCCUAAUGCAGCAAUUUCAUACCGUCAAACACACCUCGAUUUUUAAUUCAGUAUGAUUGAUCAACACAUCAUUACUUCACCAUAGUAAUGUUGGAUUCCGAAGCAAAUGAACAUUGAUCGCUCAAAGGAAAACAACCAUUAAGUGUUUGAAUGAAUGAAACAUAAACAGUAUAUCAUAUAUACCAUAUUUUUACAUCAGAAUUACUUAUAUAUAUAUAUAUAUAUAUAUAUAUAUAUAUAUCUAUACUAAUUAUAUAUACUAUAUACUAUAUAUAUAUAUAUAUAAAUUGAUCGAUCUCAUUUGUGUAACCUAUGGAUAAUCGAUGUAUCGCUGCUUCACCAUACUAAUGUCGGAUUCCGAAGCAUAGUCAAUAUCAAUCGUUCAAAUCGUGCACACAUGAUGCCAAAUGUAAUUGCUCAUUUUUUAUUUAAUUCAUUAUGUCUUUUAAUCGUAUUAAUACAGAAAAUACAGAAAAAUAAACAGCUAUCAAAUGCAUGGUUUUGUAAGUGGCUCUGAUACCACUGAAGGAAAAUAACGAUUCAAAACGCAGCGGAAAUUAAAAUUCUCCUUUAGUUAUCCUUUAGAAUGGGCAUGAUCAGUGAUAAAAAUCAUUACCUCUUGUGGCGAUUGAAACCUUUGAUGCAGAUAUAAGGAGUGACCACGAGCAUUGAAUGGUGACAACGCCUCUACUUAGUCCACACGAACAAAUUCCUUCAAUCUCAGUGUUAGCUGCUAUGAAUUAAGGCUUUGAGUGUGUGUGUGUGUGUGUGUGUGUGUGUGUGUGAGAGAGAGAGAGAGAGAGAGAGAGAGAGAGAGAGAGAGACGAAAUUUCAUCUAAUGAAAUGCUUCUGCACAAGGGUUCUAUUUAUAGAACCACUUAAGUGUAUGUGACUCAUAUCUUAUGAUAUACCAAAAAUCACUUAAGUGUGUGGUACCUUGCCAUAUUUCGUAUUCUACUUAAGUGUAUCAUAUCUUACGAUGUUCUACAAUUCACUUAAGUGCACCGUACCUUAUGGUGUUCCUUAUUUACUCUAUCUCUCAUCAAUCUGUCCUUUUGUGUGUGACCCUAUAGGUUUUUGCGACAUUGGCAAUUAUAUUAAAUCAUGUAUUUAACAUAAUAAACAGUGAGAGGUAUUUAGCAACACGUCAUUGCUACCUAAGACACAAAAAUGUCAUGUGAUCUGACAAAUCCUUUUGUGAUAAUACUUAUGUGUACAAUUACCUUUUUACCCUUAUGUCUAUAUUGAACACAAGGCAUAGAUUGUGCCAUCAUUGUCCAUUUCAAUAUUGAGCCCUUAAACAUUUGUCCUGUUACGCAGGAUGGGCAAAUUCCAUCUAGGUCACUCAUGUCCCUCAACAUGGUUCGUGGAGUACUCAUCAACUGUCUUUAUGGUCAUCCAGUUACAGAUGACAUUUGAUCAGCAAUAAAGCACUCGACUCUACAUCUAAGGUCCAUAGUGGUUUCAGGUCGAAGGUUGGUAUACACCACUAUCACCAUGAGAAUAACUUAUGACAUUUUGCAUAACAUUCUAUGUAUUAUUCUCAUUGUGGGUCAAUCCAGUAUAAAUAUUACUCCUAAUAUUCAUACCUAUGUUUAAGACUUGAUAACUCCUUAUCCAUGAUCCAUGAGAUGUGAUCAUCAGUCUAUUUACAUGAUAAUCUUAAUGCUAUUAUGUUAUCCCACUUCACAAUAAAGCUCGACUGCGGAUACUUCAAGAAUAGUGUUCUUAUGUUUAAUGAGAUCUCAUGAUUAAGUCACACUUGAUACAUUAAAUGGAUCAACUAUUCUAGGGACUUUAUUAAAUAAAUAAUAAAGACAAAGCCUUUUAUUAUUAAUAAGUAAUUCGACACAACUACCAAAAGUAUUGGCCUUUAGGGCUUACAUCAAUGAUGAAUACUACAACAUCUUCAACUUCUAGCUUGCUAUAUUUGGCGAACUAAUACUAUUUGACCCUAUAUACAUACAUAUUUUUUAUAUCCCUAUUAGUGUGAAUUUCGUCGCAAUAUUCACAUUUUCCAUCUUUUUCGAUUUUGGUAAUGAUAUUUGUAAUAUGUGGAGUAAAACAAUCUUAUGCAAUGUUUUUUUUGAACAUGCUAUCGUAUAAAAAGUAAUAGAAAAAGCUUAAUGAUGAUAAAAAAUGUAGGUGAACUUUAAUAUUUAUAGAUAAUACAUGUCAAUACAUUGCUUCUUUUUUUAAUUGAUUGUGUGACAUUUAGUACCCCUUAGUAUUUUCAACUUGACCAACAUCUAUACUCUAAUAAGAAGACAUUAUUCAUGUGCUUUAUGAUUGUCCCGUUGUAAUGCCCAUCUGGCUGGCAGCGGUUCACACGAGUCAAAGAAUAAAAUUCUUCUUCAGAGAUCUUAAGUUAUGGAUAAAGCUUAACAUAAUGAAGAAUCUUGGUCGGAAUUGUAAUGAGAAUUGGGAUGCUUUUUGGGCAACCUCCUGCCAUAACAUUUGGAACUAGCACAACAAGGAAAUGCACGACAAAGAUUUUGCUAGACCAUUAUGUUCCACAUCUUACAUUUUUUCCUUAUUGCAUGAUUAUAGGAAUGCUUAAAAUAUUUCUAAUAUAGCCAUGAUCCAUCAUUAAGAGCUUAGUUUUAUUUGAUGGGAGCCCCCUCAGAAAGGUUGGGUCAAGAUUAAUUCAGAUGGUACCAGGGAUGGUGCAUGUAAUACUGGUUGUGGGGGCUUAAUUAGAGGAAAUGAAUGGGAGUGGUUAGGAGGAUUUGAAAAUAAAAUAAGCACAUGUAGUGUUUAUUCAGCGGAGUUAUGGGGGUUCUCGAAGGUUUGAAGCUUGCGUCUAGACUAGGUUUCACUUCCAUUAAAGUUAAUGUGGAUUCUCUCCAAGUGGCCAAAAAUAUCAAUUCAAGUGACUUUAGCAAAAUUAUGGAAGGAACUUGAUUUCAAAAAUCAGAUUUCAUAUGGAGAAAUUUGUGGAUGUUAGAGUGAGGCAUAAUUAUCGUGAAGCCAAUUGAUGUGCAAAUGCUCUUGCGAAGAGUAGUUUAAGUAAUCAGGAUGAAUGUGUUAUUUUGAUGUUUGCCCACCUUUUUCAAAUCACUUGCUUGAAAGUGAUUUGUUGGGUUUGUAUGUUCCCUGGUUAACCCUGGGUUAGUUUGUUUUCCUUUUGGGCCUCGACCCUCCUUACAACAACAAAAGACAUCUAUACUCAAAUAACUUGCUCUUGGAUUUUUAAAAUAAUCUAAUGAUAAUGUAAUGAUUAGAUGAUAUGUAUAUAUAAUGCAAGUGUGUAGUAGUAUUAGGAAUGGGAAUAGGUCAGAUCGGCCUACACGGACCUAUAGCCUGACCUAUUUAAGGACAUGUCAGACCUAUUUAAUUAAAUAGAUAGGCUUAUACUUUUUUAAAAGUCUAUUUAAUUAAAUAGACAAGACUUAUGCAAUUAAAAAACAUAUGAAGCCUUAUAGGUCGGUCUAUAUAUGCAUAUAUUAAAAAUAGGCUAAAUAUGUUGGCUUAUAUAUGCAUAUAUAUUUAAAAAAAAUAGGCUAAAUAUGUUGGCUUAUAUAUGCACAUAUAUAUAAGACUUCAUAGAUAAAAUUGACUAUUUGAAAGUCUUAAUAUAAAACAGAUUUUGAAAUAAGCCUUCAAGUCUGACUGGACUUUUAAAAAGAUCGGGUCAGGCAACAAAAAAAUUACAAUAGGCCAUAGGUUAAGCCCAUGCCUUAUAAAUAUAUCGCAGGUCGAGUUCAGGCCUUCUAAGGUCUAGCCUGACUUGUCCCUAAGUAGUAUGCAUUGGUUUUAUCUUAAAAAAUGUUAGCCAUAUAUAAAAAAUGAUUGCUUUAGUUAUUAAUAUGUAUAAUUUAUUUAUUUUAUAAAUAAUGAUUUUUUUUGCAACUUCAUAUUGUUUAUAAUAUUAUAGUGUUUUAAUUUAUACUUUACUUGGUUAUAGUGAUUGUUAUUUGUUUAAAUAUUAUAUAGAAAAUUAAUAUGAUUAAGAUCUACUAAUGAUAUAUACAAAUGUAGAUAAUAGUAAUUAAUAUAAUAUUAAUAAUAAUAAAUUGAGAGAAAUAAUACAGGUUUUUUUACAAAAAUAACCCACUUUUUCAAGGAAAUUCCCAAAAUACCCCUGGUUUCAAAUAAAUUCUCAAACUACCCCAUUUUUAGGAGGAGUCUCCAAUUGAAUUGGCGACUCCUCUUAAAACUUGAAUGGAGGCGCCAAUUAGAUUGGCUAGGGCAGGUGCCCUAGCCAAUCCAAUUGGCGCCCCUGUGUAGGUUUUAAGAGGACUCGCCAAUUCAAGUGGAGACUCCUCCUAAAAUGCAAUUUUGGUGUUAUAAAUAGAUGCGUUGUGUGAGUAAAUGUUCCACAUCUCACACAAUCAUUUGGCAAUCAUGUUUGGUGUUCGUCGCCGAUACGGUAAUGUGAUUUAUGCGAGAGACGAACCUCAGAUGCUGAUGUUGUUCUGGAACAUCACUACAUUCGAUCAACUGAAGCGGGAGCUGGUUCGUUGGUUAGAUGGGAAAAUACCAGAAGGGGAAAAAAUUAGAAGUAUUGAGAGACUUGACAGUAUCUUUGGUUGGGUGUGAAUGAAGACUGAUAAGGAUGUUAGGGAAAUGAUGUUCGGUCGAGAUGACAUCAAUUUGAUUGUUGUACUCAGUUAGAAAUAUUUAUGUUUUUAGAUAGCUUAUUUUGUACUGAUGUUUGUUGUGAACCUCGUUGUAACAAAAACUUAAUGAUAUAUAAUGAUUGAAGGUUACGGAAAUACAAUGUUACAAAAAGCUUAAGACCUAGAUGAUGCUCCUCGAUUGGGACAGUUGUUCUUGUUGUGUCCUGGUUGACGACAGAUACUACAUAAUCUUAUCAUUUUAUUUGUGGAAUCCAUCUCUACAAUGUUACAAAAAGCUUAAGACCUAGAUGAUGCUCCUCGAUUGGGACAGUUGUUCUUGUUGUGUCCUGGUUGACGACAGAUACUACAUAAUCUUAUCAUUUUAUUUGUGGAAUCCAUCUCUGUUCCGAUACGUGUGCUGUUUGGCCUUCCUUUCUUCUUUCUACGUAUCUCGUCAUUGUGCCAAACAAUAUCACCUUCAUAUGGAGGCCAGUAAUCCUCCAUUGGUAGUACUGAGAAGCUUUGACUAUAUACAUUCCUGAUGGUGUUGGCCUUGUACACAUCAGAUAAAUGGUUGUAAGCAUCUUGACGAGUAUAAGCGCAUGCUGCAAUGACAUGGGAGCAAGGUAUGCGGAAGGCCUGGAAUUUUCCAUAAUUGCACCAACCUCUGUUUAGUCUAACAGCGUAGGCUAAAUUUGGUCUCCCCUCGUUGUGGUCCAUUGUUUCCUGGACGCUGAAAUUUUGCCUAUGACGGUCAAAGACUGUUACAACGUGUGUACUAGAUUUAAUGCUCUCCUCUUUCAUGACCUUCAUACAACACUCACUGAAUACUUGCCCGGACAUUAACACCACACUCCAUUUUCACCUCUGGUUGCGAACAUAGAAGCCAACCUAUAAUAGGUUGAUCUUACCAAGGCGAUUAUCGGCAGACUUCGAAUUCCUUUGAAUACCCCGUUCAUGUAUUCCACAAUGUUUGUUGUCAUGUGGCCCCAUCGACAACCUCUGUCAAAUGCCUUUGUCUACUACUCUACUGGUAUGUUAUUUAGCCACCUCCCUGCGUCUUCAUUAGACAGUCUAAUUUCAUCACGAUAAUAUUGAAAUGACGACUGAGUUAGAGCAUACCCAGCAUUCACCACCUUCUUGCGAAGAUUCUUAUCUUUUAUAGCACGCAUGAAGUUUUGUGCAAUGUGUCUGAUACAGUAGACAUGGGUGUAGAAGGAGGAUCAGUUCAUUUUCGUAUGGUUGUUAUGGCACUCUCAAUGACAGCUAGUCUAUCAGAAAUCAAACAGAGAUUGGCUUGUGGAGCCACAUGCGUUCUGAGAUGUCGAAGAGAAACCCCAUCCACCACGGCCCUUCAACAAGAGCAAGGCAAUGGAAAGACAUGUUGUUUCCGUCUUGUGCAACCGCCAUGAGCAAAGUACCCUUGUAUUUUCCAUAUAACCAAGUGCCAUCAAUUUGAAUAAUAGGUUUGCAGAAUGCGAAACCUUUGAUGCACGGGUCAAAUGCCCAAAAGAGACGAUGAAAGAUUCUAUUACCUGUAGCACAGGUUCCGUCUGGCAUCAUCGCUGGCAAUGUCUCCAUGAUUGCCACAGUUCUUGGGACAUAUGUUUUUAGUGCUCAUAAAAACCGUGGUAAUUCCUUGUAUGAAUCCUCCCAGUUGCCGAAAACUUGUUCAACAACCUUUGUCCUCGCAAUCCAUGCUUUCUUGUAAGAUGGAGUAUAAUUAUAUGUUGAUCUGAUAUGGGAUAUAAUUAUACUCACCUUCAAUGAUGGGUCUUUAUUAACCAAUGAGAGAAUGUCUUGACAUAUCAACGAUGCGCUUAGUUUACCGUGAUCUUGUUCAACGUUAGUUGCAAUGCAACUGUGAGGUGGGUCUAUUGAACCGAUCUCCCAAGAGUCGUUUUUCUUCUUGUAAGAUGCAGUCAAACGAAACUUACAAAGCAUGUUACGACAUUCGAUAACAUACCUUAUAGAAUCAGUGUGUUUCACUGUAAAGUCAGCAGAGUUGUUCAUGUGGAAUUUUUCGAUAGCCAGAACACAUUCUUCUUUGGUACGAAACAUGUCUCCCACCUUUAAUUCUCCUUCUGAUCUCGGAUACAGAUUAUAGAAAACACUGUUGGAUGUUUCAUCGUCGUGAAGAUCCAUAUUUGUCAUAUGUUGAGGCGGAUUGUAGACAUGAGUAGGAGGUAUUGGUGGUGGUUGAUCAUCAUCUUCAUCGUUGUUGUUCAGCAUGUGAUCAACCUGUAUCUCGGUCUCCUCUUCUUCUUCAUCAACGACGUUCACUUCUGCUUUUGCUUCUGGGUUGACGUUAUUUGACCAUUGUGGAUCAUCUUCACCAGAUUCAUCCUGACCGGUUAGUUGAGACUGUUGAGAUGGUAUACAUGGUUGAAGAGUAAUGUAUAACUCAAUACAGUUGCAGCCUGAAUGUUCAUGACUACAAACAUGUAUUCAACAUCUUCAUCGUCUGUACCUUAAGGGGAAAAUACUGGCAUUGACUUAUUCUAAAAAUAUGGAUUUGAUAUGUGAUCUUUGACACAAAAUACCCAAUCCUGUACAAGAUUGUAUUCUUUUUUUCAAAUGCAUGAAGGUUGCAUUUCUCUUAUCGUGGUCUAAUGGUAUCGGUGUUUUGAAACAAAAAACCAUAUAGCUCAGACUCGUAUGCUUCACCGUUGCAGUGAACGUUGACAUUGUAUAAUGAUGAAGAUGACAUUGUGCAGAUGAAAACUAUUUUUCUUACUGCAGAUGAAUGUGAGUGAAGUGUUCUUUGGAUGUUUGAUAGUAAGACUUUUUUUUUUUUUUUUUUUUUUUUUAUCUCCUUUUUUUCAUUUUAAAUUAAGGGAGUUGAAGUGUCGUCACAUGCUAGCUAGUUCGAAGUGACGUGUGGCACAUGCAAGCUACUCCGACAUGAGACGCUGUCGCACAUGCAAACUACUCCAAAUGAUGUGUCAACCACUGCAAGUACUAAGAAGGACAUGUUCAGCAUGUCAAGAGACAAGACAGCCACAUGUCAGAACAGUGCAGACACACACUCCAAUGACAUUGGCGCCCCACGUCAUUCCUUGCCAUCAUGGGUCCAAUUCAAGUUGGAGACACAUCAUUCAGACCUCGAACGCAACAAUCAGACCUAGUGUCUUGCAUGCAUGUCCCUUUGGAGGACGCCAUUGAAAUGGCGACCCCUCUUAAGGAUACAUGGUCGCCAAUCAGAGUGCCGAGACACCAUUGCAAGCAUAACUUUUCAUGUCUCCAUCCCAUUUGCCUUAAUACAUCCACAUCCAUCAACAUUCUCCCACGCAUCACUCUCACUACUGUCCUCUACAAUAUUCUGUCUACAAUUUCUCUUCAACAACUUUUGUGAUUUCAUCUACCAACCCCGCAAAAUGUCUAUCCUCACAAUGGGCGAUGCACAUAGAGGAACGGUCUUGCAACAUCACAACAUAUGUAGUUUUUCUUUUUGUUAACUUUUUUCUUCAUCUUUCACACCCCCUUUUAUUUUUACAUACCAACUUAUGUUCAGAUUUUUUAUGCUUUCUUUUAUAGAGAUGUAUCAAGUUUCGAAUGGGUCACGAAAUAUGUCCAUUGCGACCGGAUGAUUCACCUUAUGUUGAACCUGCCGGUUUUGGUCAUAUACGCAAGACUUUGUCUGGUCCAUAUACAAAUCAUUCUAGCUUAUGCAAGAAGAUGAGAUUCAGAGACACAACAUUUUGGUUCCAGCACGGUAAGUCCAUGGACGUUGAAGACGAUUACAUGCUUUUGGUUAUCCAUUGAAGGUAAGGCUGUAAUGUAAACCAACUAUGCAAUUCAUUUGCAUGGAGUUUAGAGACUGAUUUUAGAUGAUAAUGCCAGAGUCAAGGUAUACUACUCUCCGCCUUAGUCGUACUAUAAUAGUUUAUACUUAGAUGAGAUUCUACCAAAGAUGCUCGAUAAUAAAAAUAGGUUUACUAUGCUGCUUAAUUGGUCGUUUAUUUCCCGAAGAUAGUGGUUCUAGAUGCAAUAUGUACUUUACUCUACUUUAGACAUGUAGACAGAAUAGGAAGUACAGUGGGGAUCUGCUUGUCUAGCCUAUCUCUAUAGCUCCGUGGCAAAAACUUCACACAAAGACACAUCUACAUUUCUGAUGUGUGUUUUGCUACAAGCAUGGGGUUGGUCAAGACUACCGUCUCUAGCACCCGUCAAUAACAACCCUUUCACAUUUCCGUAUGCACAAAAGUAAGUUGUUUAAAUUGCUAUAUCUUUACUUACUUCUUUAAAGAUUAUUACAUCUAACUAUUAUUUUUUGACUUUUUGGUGUAGAUGGUCUGCACGUGGUAUGAGUUACAACAUAUGUCCAAGACACUGUAUUACUCAGUAUCGCAACCUGUUGGAUCACCUUCGACCGACAGACGUAAGGAAAAUAACUUAAUUAUUUCGUUAUAUCUUGUUAACUUCUUCUACAUUGACUAUAAUCCUAUCUUAUUUCACAUUUCAGUUCAUUUGGCGUCCAUACCUUAAUUUGGAUCAUGACCAUGAGGUCAACGCUGAAGACGCGGCCGUAUGGACUGCAUGCACACCGAUAAUACGGUUCACAACUGUGGAGAUGUACAACAGUGAUCGUGUGAAGCUGCAGUUCAGUAUGCUCCAAAAUAUCCCAGAUCCCCCAUCUAGCCUAGGAGAAUGGCAUCUGUGUAAAGUUAACGACCAAUGGAACUUCAAUCCAUGGCAAAGCUUCGCAAGAUCGGAGUGUCGCAAAUGGAAGCACCGUCAUGACCAUGUGUUAACUGACGCAGUCAUGCCAACUAAAGAAAAACCAAGUUCGACUUAUAUGGCUUGGUACAAGAUCGGUUGGUUUUCAGUCAUCGCGAUGAUAUGUACUUGUAGGACCCACGCAGAUGACUUACACACCUGACACCUCAACAUCAACCCCAACACAGUCACAACGUUAGACCGGAUACACACAACCCCCUAUCCGUCAAACGUUUCGUUUCAACCAACACACAAACAUACAACCAAAUAUGCCAUACACCCAACCCCAAUACCAAGAGCAUACCCCAUACCACCACCAACAAAUUGACCAUCAACCUGAGACCCAACAUCGCUUCGCACCCACCCCAUCACCCUACCAAAGUCGCCUUAGCCAGAACACUCAACGAUCAUUCAACACCAACCGCUCCUUCUCCUACCGUAGCCAAGAAGCCCAAACAUCACAAAACCAAAACAUCCAACAACCUUAUCUCUACCAAACACCCCAACAACCUUUCCAACUUUUCCUCGACGCAUCGUUCACACUCAUGUCUCCCUUCAACCGUCCCGGUCGUCAUCAAUAAGUCAACCACAUCCCAACUUCUCUGGCAUGGGUCAUGAGCUCAGCUACGACGGUACACCGUUGAUGCAUACUGAAGACUAUGCCAACUUGUCUGAAUACCUCAACAAACCUUCUCCUGUAGUUGGUAGUGACGCUCCUGGCCCCUCAGAUGAUCAAACACCGGUGCAAAAUUGUCAACGUGGGUUAGGGCCAAGGGUUAGGGUAGCUAGAGGAUGUGGGACUGGAGGUCGGUUAGGUGAUCCCGGUCAUCACCAUUAGGUUUCUUUGUGUAAACGGCAAAUUUUAUUAAUAUUAAGUGGUCCUAUAUCAAAUUUAUCUAUCACGUAUACCAUAUAACAAAAAAAAUUGCAUUUUAGGAGGAGUCUCCAAUUGAAUUGGUGACUCCUCUUAAAACCUACACAGGGGCGCCAAUUGGAUUGGCUAGGACACCUGCCCUAGCCAAUCCAAUUGGCGCCUCCAUUCAAGUUUUAAGAGGAGUCUCCAAUUCAAUUGGCGACUCCUCCUAAAAGUGGGGUAGUUUGAGAAUUUUUUUGAAACCGGAGGUAUUUUGAGAUUUUUCUUAAAAAAUAGGUUAUUUUUGUAAAAAAACCUAAUACAAACAAAUAAAGUUAUAAAAUAACAUAUAAAAGUCAUAACAAAUGAAGCACAAAGACACAACAUGCAACAUAAAUAUUGACAAAUGUAAGAAACAACUAUAAGAAAACUCAAUUCCAACUGCAACUACUUUGAGUGUUGAUAUCGUUAUUAUCACUAUGUAGGUACAUUUUUGGAGCAUCAUUACUAUAUGAAUGAGUUGGAACCAUAUAAUAAAGUUUUAUAGUAGUGAUUGUUGUGAAUUCAAACUCAGCAUUUAUCUCCACCUUCAAAAAAAUUAGACAAAUUUGAAUGGUUAACUAAAUAAAGGAAGAAAAAAAAUAUGAAUUCUUUAAAAUGAAAAUAAAUUAAACAUGUAUUUAAAAUUUGCAUGUGUAGGGUCAAUUUCGGCGGUGAAUGAAUUCACAUGAAAGAGAAAAAUAAUAAUACUAUUAAAUUUGAUUGUGUUGUUAAAAUAUGUAAAGUGUUGAAUAAAACUGAAAUUGAAAAAGUAAAAAUAGUUGAAUACUUACAUAAAUUGUAGUGAUCAAAAGAUGUUAUCCGUAACAUAAAUCAAUGGGUCUAAUUUGUUUGGAAAAGCGGUAAAUAUAGCAUGAUAGACAAAUUGACCAUAUUGAGAGACGCCUAAUCGUGUAAGUAAUUGUCCAAGGAUUCCAUUGUAUGUCUAAUCAGUUGGCAUACAACUCAACGACAUUAUGCACAAAAUUCAUCAAUAAAUGUGUUAAAAUGAUUAUUGCAUUUGGUGGAUUCUAAAAGCAUGUUAUAUACAUAACAUGAUGUAUAACUUAGCACACAUGCAUUGAAGUUGAUUGUAGUGACUACACGAGAUAACCUUACAUGUUACUACUUGAUUAAAAAGACAUAUAUUUCAACUCACUUGAGAUAAUACAUCAGAUGUUAUAAAUUGAUGAAUAACCAAGCUUCUUUUUAGAUAUUGUAAAUAUUUGUCCAUUACAGGUUAUAUAUAUAACUAAAUGAUAAUUUUGUAAUAGAAUCAAAUAAAAAUUAAUGUCUUAAAAAAUCAUAGUUAAGCGUGAAUACUUCCUACAUAGUAAAAAACAGUGGAUUUGAAGAAAAAAGUUAUACAUCUAAUUUUUCUCUUACAUGUGGGCUUGAAAAUUUCUCAUAUUUUCCUUUCUACUAAUAUUAAUAAUCUCAUUGAAGAACAUUGACCUGAGUAAGAUCAAAGAGAUUUAAAAUUUUAAAAUAAAUAAUAAUAAUAAAAUUAAGAAGUUCCACUUAGUACAAUGGCAACAAAAGACAUGAAUAUAUCAAUUAAAAACAACAAGAACUAUAUAUUUUUAUUGAUGUUGUAAUAUUAAGUAAUGAAAUUUCUUUUUCAAUACUUGAGGUAACCAUGUUGUUGCUAGUUUUAUUAUUAUUGUCAAAUGUAUACAAUUGUGUGUAUUUUGGUGCUUGACUCGACUAAAGCAACAUGUUUCCUAUUGCAUGACAAGUUUGACCUUUAAGUCACAAAGUAGGUGGACAUUUUCCUUUGUUUGUGUUUGUGUCAAAAUUCAUAUUAUUAGAUGUGAAUGGAGAUAUAUCAUUAUAUUUCCUUGCGCUUGUUUUUUUACAGUAAAUAAACGCAUGCAUUAUAUGAAGAAUAUAAAGUUCAAGCAUAGUAAUAGUUCAUAUAAAGUUCAAGCAUAGUAAUAGAUAUCGUGUUAGCGCAUUUCCCAUCCACAUUAUAAAAAUAAUACUAAUAGUUAAACCAACCAAGUUAUGGACAUCAACAAACUUUAAGCAUAGUAAUAGACAACCAAUCAUAUUUCUUCCACAAGUGAUAAGUGAGUUUAGAAAUCACAAAUUUUAAAUCUAUCCAAUUACAAAUCAUUUCUUUAGCUUUGGGAGGCACAAUUCGAUCAUAUAAGUUCUUAAGUUUGAUUAAACUCACAAUUUAUAGAGGAAUCAUAUGUUGUUUGUAAAAGGAGAGUUUGAUUUGCAACUACCAUUGUUAGAUUCUCACUCAUAAACACAUCUCUUUCAUCCAAACUUCUUUGAGGCAUUUAAUUAAACACCAUGAGUACAAACUUAAAACAACCUAAACAUGAGAACAAACUAAACAACAAAACAACACAAACAAAAAACAACACAAACAAAAACAACACAAACACAAUAACAUUAACCAUUACAAGUACACAGACACAGAAUCUCAGAAAUUUCAUAUCUUUCGGUGGUGGAGGCUCUGGUGGAGGUUGUUUUUUUCAUGUUCGUGCCCCUUUUGCUCAUUGGUUGGUGAAGGUAAUUUCGGAGUUGUAAGCAUUUGGUGGUUGGUGGAAAAGAGAGAAAACUUGAUGGAGGUUGGAGGUAGAAUAAGGCAUGGAACCAACAUAGACGAGUGAUUCAAAUGAGUGAGAAUGAAGGAAGAAAAAGUUACAGUGGGGGAGAAACCUCCAUUGAAGAGAAGACAACCACCAUAAUGGUGGAGAGGACUCUAGUAAAGGAGGAGGAACCCCUAUAAAAGGGGGUGACGCUCACCAAACCAGGGAUACCCUAAUUUUAGAGAGAGGGGAGAACUUCUCUCUAAAACUCUUCAUUUAUACAUGUCUUCUCUCUUUCUUAUGCUUGUUUAAUAAUUCAUGCUUUUGGAUGAGUUUGGUUAAAUAAAAUACUUUGUAGGAAUUUUGGAGGUUAUUCUAGCAUAGGUAGGUCAAUUUUCUCACCACUGCAACAUAGUUGAAAUUUUUGUACAAUUGUUUGUCUUUAUUUUUUUCCCGUUAUUGACACCAUAUGAAUGCUCCACAAAAUUGACAUUCCCAAACAUGAUCUCCUAUAUUAAAAUGUUAUGUUUGAAUAAUUAAAAAAGUGUACGUAGUAAUAAUGUACAUAUAUUUAGAAUGAUUAUUAUUUUAUAAUUCGAAUGGUAAAAAGAACUAAUGUUGAUAUCACCUUGUAGGUGGUUGUCAACCAAAUCCAUGUUUUCAUUUAGAAAAUUACCAUCAGAUUUAUAUCGGUCACUAUGAUCAAAAUCAAAGUUUGGUGAAUUAUUCUCACAUAAGUUAGUGUGAAUGUUUUCUCUUCACAAUCCUUUGGUCUCAUUUGAAUUAGUGUUCAUAAAUGAAUGGGUUUGUGUUUGUGGUAUGUGAGAUUUACUUGCACUACUAAAAACACACUUGAUUGUGGCCGUUAAUGUGAGGCAAUUUCUAAAAACACCACAAAUUUAUUUUAAAAUGACACUUUUUUAUUAAAGACACGAGUUAAUGUUUAGUUAAUUCCAAUUUUUUUCAUUAGUCAUCUCUUUCUUUCUUUUUUUCACGUUUUAAAAAAAAUAUUAUUUCAUCCUAUUUUCGUUUACAUAUGAUUGUCUCUUCUUUGAAAACCCCAUAAAUUUAAAAUCUUAUAAUUUAUGGAUAAAAAUCACUAAUACAAAUAAGGUAUUUCAUGACAAAGCUUUCACAUCAACCAACAAAAAUUUGAGGUAUAAUCCUUGAGCUGACAAUGUUUUUUUGAAAAAGAUCAUUUAUUCACUCGGUUGGUAUAUAUAAUAGAGGGGGGAAACUAGUUAAGGGACACGCUUUGAAUCUCAACACCUACAGUUUAUGCUUUUAUUUAUUUUAUAAUGACAUCAUUCUUUUUUAUUUAUUUUUUGGCAAAAUACCCUUUUUGGUCCUUUAACUUUACCUCGGGGUCCAUUUUGGUCCCUUAAUUUUAAAAAGUUCCAAAUUGAUCCUUUAAUUGUUCAAAUAGUGCCACAGUAGUCCUUUCUGUCCAUUUGGCUGAAACGAGUGUUUUUUUUAAUGCGUGGCAACUGACGUGGAUUUCAAUUUUCAUCUUCUUCGUUUCAUCCUCUUCCUCCCUCUCUUGCUAGGUUUCUUCCCAAUUCGAUUUAGGAUUCUUCAAUUUGGGGAGGUCUACACUGAAAUUGAUUGUGGAAAAUAAAAUUAUCAUCAUCAAUGAAUUAUGGCACUAUUCAAAUGAAUCUAAUUUAAAAAGCUCUAGUAGUUUGGAUUCUAAUUUGCGAUGGAGACAUGGUUGUUCUUCGUAUUGCCUCAAUUGUUACGAACUUUGGGAAAUAAUUUUGAGGAUGUUGUCAUUAUAAGGUAAGAAUGAAUUUGAAUAUUUUCUUCUUUGCCGGUUGUUCUGAUAUAGACCAUUUGCCAAAUACACAGGAUGCAACACAAGUUGGUUGCAGAUACUUUGAUUGGUUCUAUGAGAUUAUGGUAGAUGAGAGAGACCAAUUUAUGAAGAAUCAAAAGAGUAGGUUGAAGAAGCUAAAAAAACAAACUUGAUGUAGCAAAAAUGGAGUUAGAGUAUCUCAGGGCUACAAAUAAGGGGCUAAAGCUACAGUUGAGGGAAUUACAAAUUCAUUUAAGAAGAUGGUGAAAUGGGAAUUUUUUUGGAAGAGCAUGUUUUGUAUUAUUUUAGGUGUGGUGGUAUUUAGAAUAUUGCAACAAGUGUAUGACAUUGAAUUAAUUUGAAUAUGUUUGUAUCAGUUUGAAUGGCAUAAUAUUUUGAAUCUAUUUGUAUCUAUUUGUAAGAACAUAUCUCUUAAUGUUAGCAAUUGACAUCAGUUAAUUUAUGUAUCAAUUAACGUGUUUCAGUUUAUUAUAUAGCAAUCAAUAUGUAUUGGUUUAUGAAUUGUGUAUUAGUUAAUGUGUAUCAGUCCAUUAUGUAUCAGUUGGUUUAUACCAGAACAAAUAAAAGAAGCCAUUAAUAUUUUGCAUUAGAAGGCUCAGUUGUGUAUACUAACAAUUAUAUAUCAGCUAGUUUAUACCAAAAUAGAUAAAAACAAGGCACUUAAAUAUUUUGCAUUAUAAAUAAGGAGUAAACCACUAAUAUUAUGCAUUAUUAAUGUGGUGUAAACCACUAACAUUCAGCAUUACUAAUGUGGUAUAAAAUACAUUGCAUAGGUUCAAAAGGAACUACAUAGGUUCAACACACAUUACAUUUCCAAAACACGUGUUCAAACUUAAACUAACAAUUCUAAAUUGAGUUCAACAUACAAAAUGACAAAUAACAACUCUAAGUUAAAUUAAAUUUUCCAGUUUAGUGUGGAUCUCUUAGUUGGUGUUAUCAUUCUUGUUAUUGGCCCAACUGCAGUCUUGGAUGCACUCAAUCUAGUUGUAGGUCCUGGUGGUACAAAUGGUGUUGUUGGCCUUCUGAAUGGUGGCUUCUUUGCCCUUCCAUGAGUUGAGUGAUGGGAUAUUUCAGUAGAUGUUUGAGAUGCCCUCUUAACUGGUUGCUUAUUUUCCCUUCCAUGAGUUGACUGUUGGGAUGUUUGAGUAGCUACUUAAGUGACUUGUUGGGAUGCAUUAAAAGGUGCUUGUUGGAAUGCUUGAGUAGGUGCUUGUUGGGAUGCUUGGGUAGGUUCUUGUUGAAUAGUUGAUGUCACCUUAUAAGUAAUUUGGUUAUGACCUAGUUUCUUACAUCUACUACACUUGACAAUGAAACCAUAUCUUCUCAUUUUGCGAUCAGAUCCACCAAUCUCACCUUGCUUUAGAUUCCUCCUAUUUUUUGGCCUUAUAUACAUUUUCCUAUACUUAAGUGGUUGCACAUCGGGAUACUUUGUUCUAACCCACAUAUUUGAGCCAUUAACAUGUUAUAUCGCAUGUUUGUAGACUUCUAUAUAUUUUGAUUUCCUAUAAUACUCAGAGAUGUAGUCAUCAACCUUAUGGUUUCUAUUAUUCAUAGCUAAAAGUGCAUGAACACAAGGUAGGUAUGUUAGUCCCCAUCUUCUGCAUGAACAUAGGCGUUCCUUCAAAUCUACUGGAAACUUAUCUGUUGGAUUUUCAAGGUGCCUCACUUCAAAUAUAUGCUCACCAGACAUCCUAGAAUAGCAAGAUUUUGGUUAAGUUAUGAAACUUGUAUAAAACUUGUAUUAAACAUGUGUAUAUUAUAUGGCAAGCCACAAGUUUGUGUAUGUGCUUGUUUUUUCUUUUUACUUCUAAUAUUGGACAACACUUCAACAUCUGCCAUGUUUUGAAACCUCAUCCUAUUGGUAGCCCAUCUUUCCAUCAUGUCGGUCCUUAUUUCUUCCACCAUGGUUAUCAAUGGCUUGGCCCUAGACUCCAAAAUGACACUAUUAAAAGCUUUAGACAUGUUAUUGAGAACAACAUCACACUUGUUAUGUGUCUUAAAGUAUGACCUACUCCAAAAUCUCCAUGGGCUUCUCAUCAUGUGUUUUUAUGCAUCUAUAUUGACAUCCUCUAUUCCUUUCAUUUCUCUUUCCCAAGUUUGUGAGUAUGUUGGUUUUGUAGCCUUCCAUAUGAUUUCCUUCAACAUGUUACCAGGAAACCUCUUCCUAAAGUUUUUAUAGAUAUAUCUGACACAAAAUCUAUGUUCAACUUUAGGCAGUAACUCAUCCGUUGCAGGAAAUAGUCCCUAUGUCAUUAGAAUUAUGAACACAUAAUUAAAACAUCUGAAUUGUAAACACAUAAUUAGAACAUAAGAAUUGUAAACACAUAAAACAUACCUUUUGUUGUUCAUAAAUAAAAGUGUAUGUGAGGCACUCAUCUCUUCCACCAAGAUCAUCAAUAAGCAACUCCAAGAAUCAUGUCCAUUUAUCCUUAUUUUCACUCUCCACUACUGCAAAUGCUAUUGGUGGCAUUUGAUCAUAGGGAUUUCUACCUAUGGCUUCCAGGAUUUGACCUCCACAAAGAUCUCUCAAAAAACAACCAUCAAGUCCUAUGAAAUGGUUACAUAACUUGAAGUACUCCUUACAAGUUGCAUAACAUAUGUAUAACCUUCUGAAAUAAGGUCUCUUAUCAUCAAUACCUGAUUGAGUAGGUUGAACAUUUAGUUUUACUGUUGACCCUGGGUUUGAUCUUAAUAACUCACGGAAAUAGUCAUAAAUCCUUGUAUAAUCCCCUAGGAAAGAACCAUUAACCAUGUCUCUGGCUGAAAAUCUAGCUAUUAUGGCGUUAGUCUUGUUGACCCCUACAUUCCACUUCUUUUGUGCCUUUUCCUUUAUAUUCUUAAGCUUCAUUCUAUGGUUAUUUUUCAAUGAAUUUUGAAUCCUUUUGCUCAAUUAUUUAGUGUUGAUCAUCUUCACAUUAUACUCUCAACUGCAACUAUAAAUGUCAACUACCUUUCUUAGUUGUUAAGAGUCCUCAUUAGGCAACUUAGCACAAUAAGCUUCCCGCUUAUAUCCAUCUUUACACGUAAGCCUCACCUUUAUCUUGUCAUUUUUAGUGAACUUCAAAUUUCGGCAACAUUGGACUGCAUAUGAGGUUAUUGCUUCCUUAAAAUCACCUUUGGAACUAAAAUACAUUCCCACCUCCCAUUUGUAAUUGGACAUGUCUUUUUGUAACUUGAACAUUGGGUACUUCUUUCCCCUAACUCCACUGUUAUCAUCACUCUUACACCUAUUUUCUAGAUCCCCACUUUCAUUAUCACUCCUUUUAAAUUCUUAUUUGUUUUCUUCCUACUUUAUUUACCUUUUUUGGUGUUCCUCUCUUGAUCAUCUCAUUCACAAAGUCAAUUAGAUUAUCCAUUUCAUCUUCCUCAACCAAUUCAUCGUUAUACUCAUCAGAUUCAUCAUCAAAUGCUACCUCCAUUGCACUAUCAUAAUCGAAGCUCUCAUCCUCACUAUCAUAAGAACUAACAUCAUCAUUCACCUCACCACCAAUUUCCCUUAUAUAAAUUUCCCUUACAUCAUUUUCCCUUACAUCGGUUUCCCUACAUUAGUUUCCCUUACAACAUUUCCCUUACAUCAGUUUCCCUUACAUCAUAUUCCGUUACAUCAGUUUUCUUUAACCCCUCAUUAACUACUUCUUCAUACACUGCAACAAGCACUUCACUCUCAUCUAUAAUGUCCUUUUUCUCUACUACUAUCUGAUCAAGGGUACUAUCAUAAUACUCAGGCUGAGAAAACGUGAUUUGAAUAUAAAUGUCAACACUAAGAUGAACACAUGGUUGGUCCUUUGAAUUUGGGUGCCUUGGGCGAAUUAAAAGAGUUGUGCCCAUAUAAUUUUUUUAAACAAUAAAUACAUAAGGAUAAAAGAAAUAAUUGGAUAAAAAAUACAUUUUCAUUUCACAUUGUGCAAAAACAAUACAAGUAUGGAUAUUUGAAUAAAUGUUUAUACUACAUCAAAACAGAAACCACUAUAAAGAGACUUCUUCUUCUUCUUCUUCUUCUUCUUCUUCUUCUUCUUGAUCUGGUCUUUUUUCCUAUAAAAGAAUUGACCAAACCUUUAAAUUAUUUAAAUAUCACCCUCUUAGCAUUUUUUGUUGCAAAAUCAUUAAUAAUUCGUUCAUAAUCAAGAUUCUUCGAAAAAUUAUUUUCAAUUGAAAUCAAUGUAAGACUAUUUAAUCUAUCUUGUGACAUAAUAGAUCUCAAAUAAGAUUUUAAUAAUUUUAAUUUAUAAAAACUUCUUUCAGUAGAUGCAACACUGAUAGGAAUAAUCAAUAUUGUUCUAUAAGUUAUGCAUGCAUUAGGAAAAUAAUUAAAAGUCUUUAAAGAACUCAAUAUCAUAUAGCUUGAUUUUGAUUCAACUGUUAAAACUUCUCUAAUAACUUUCAAUUCUUCAAACAAAAUUUCACCAUCAAGAUCAAGAGAAUUGUCAUGUUUUAAACAAGUUUCAAGAUGUUUACAAAAUGCUUUCAAGUCCGUAUCAGAUAACGAUAUAAGUAUUUCAAUAUUAAACAAGAAUCCAAUUUUCUUUUCAUAUGUGUUAUACUACUCAAAUCUUCUAUCAAGUAAGCCAAUUUUUUUAUCUACAAUAUAUAAUAAAUAGUGAUUUUGAAAAGACUAUUCAACAGACUCAAGAUUCAAUUGUGUUCAGCUAGUUGAAGUAGUGCUUCUCUUGCAUCUGAAGUUUGAGAUUUAAUUGCAUAUACAUUAUUCACACGACUUUCUCAACGUAUUUGUGACAAUGGUUUAAUAGUUAAAUCUUUUAAACUGUCUCUAAGAAUUUUCCAACAUUUUAUUGAAUGAGAAAAUACAAUAUACAUAUGUUGUAACACUCCAAAAAAAUCUUUAGCUUUAGUACAAGAAUUUGCAAUAUCACAAAGUCUCAAGCUAAGGAUAUAACAACCAGUUAUGUAUAAUGCUCUAGGGUUAACAUUUAAUAAUUUUAUUUGUACACUUUGAUGGUUACCUUUCAUCACAUUAUUAAUAUCUAGACCAAGAUUUUCCAAUAUAUUUUGUAAUUCCUCAAAUAAUUCUUGACCCAUUGUGUCAUAGACUUUAAAAAUUUCUACAAAAAACUCUUCAAUUUUUAUUAGACUCGUAGAAACAUCCACACAACAUAUAAUAAGAGUUAUUUAUCCUUGAUGGCUUUUUCAGGAGUACAAUCAAGAAUCACAGAAAAAUAUUUUGUUUCUUUGAUUUUUUUUACUAUUGCAUUUUUUAUUUCAUUACCUAACAUGUUAAUCAAUUAAUUUUGAAUCUUAUGACUAAGAUAAUGACAAUGAAUGUCAUUAUUCUUAGUACGUUCAAAAUGUUUUUACAUGACAGGAUCUCAUUUAACAAUCAUUUUAACAAGAGAAAGAAAGUUUCCAUCUUUUCCAUAUUAAUUCUCUUGUUUUUUUCUACAAAAUGCUAAAUUAUGUUCAACUAGAUAUUUAGUAACACAAACUAUCCUAAGUAAGACAUCCUUCCAAUUCCAUUUUUCCUUUCUUAUAAGCUCUUGAAGAUGUUUAUCAAUUAUUAUAUUUUUAUUAAAUCUAAUUUGUAAGUCAAUCCAAUUACUCAUGAAAGACAUGUGUGCACCACUUGGUUCGUGUUCUUUAACUCCUUUAUAAACAUGUUUCCAAUCAUUAAAACCUUCAUUUGUCAAGCGAUUUAUUUUAUAACUUACAGCAAAAACAAACAACUUUAUUCAAUUCUUUUAAAUAAACCAGCCAAUUUAUAUCUUGUUAUUCUCUAUUGGAAUAAUAACGGAUAUAAUAUGAUGAUGAGAAAUUCCUGCCAGAAGUAUCUUUAGGACCAUUCACAAUUAACACAUCUCUUUCAUGAUCAUUUCUUAGUAAUUUAUCUCUUAAAUUAUUGCUAAGGUAAUUAUGUGUUAUUGGAUCAUAAGUGUCCAAUAGAAUAGACUCGUUAGGUUGUUCACCAACAAAAACAGGGAUAUGUUCAUUUUCAUUAUUAUAACUUUUAUCAUCAAAAUUUUGAGCUUCAUCAUCAUCUUAAUUUUCAUUAUUUUCAACCAAAAUAUUUGUUCUUCAAUAAUCCUAUUUAGUUACCCAUUCUCUAAACUCUAUGUUUCAAGGUUCAAAUUACCUAGAUUUGCAUCAUUUGAAAUAUAAAUUGUAGGAUGUUUUCCAAAAAAAUUAUGAAUAUCACCCUUUUGAGAUUUAUUAUCAAUUUCAAUUAGUUUCUUUCUUUUUUAUUUUAGAUGAUGAAACAAUAGCAUAUGAUGUCGAUUUUUAACCUUCAACUUAAAUUUUGAUCAAUUUGUUCCAAAAGUCUUUAAGCACUAAAUCAAACUUGAUCCUAAAAAGUGAAAAUCAACAUGAAAAUUAGCAUCUUAUGAAAGAAGUUAUUUUAUUUUUGACUAUAUAUAUAUAUUAUAUAUGUAUAUAUACUUUUCUAAUUUUCUUGUUUAAUUAAUAGUCGACACUUAUGCUUUUCUUGAGAGAUAGAGAGAUUAUAAACUAGGGUAAAGUUAUGUCACUUUUGAAUCUUAUUCUCUAUUCUCUAUAUCAUUAUUUUAAUUUUAGUGCCCUAAUUAGACUCUUUAGUUGCUAAAAUUAUGGACAUUAAUUGAUUUUAUUUUAGGGGAAUUAAUUUAUUUUAUUCUACUCAAUAUUUUAUUUAGGGGAAAUUACAUUAAUUUAUUAAUUUUGACUUUGUAGUGCCCCUAUAAUUUUGUUAGCAAGUAUUUUUCAAAAAAAAAAAAUUCUAGUAAGUAUUUUCAUAAUAGAACAUUAUCUUUUAAUCCCGCUUUAUUAGCCAAUAACUUGGGCUACAUGGCUUAUGCUUAUGAGUAUUACUUGCCUAAAGACUUGGAGAACCAAGCCCGGUUCGCAAACUCGGGUGCCUCCCACCAUCUAACCUUUAAUCCCUCUUUCUUGCAUUCUAAGAAAACACAAAAUGGCUUGAGUCAUGUUAGUGUAGCAAACAGUCAAUCCUUACCAAUUCAACAUAUAUGAUUUGCUAAUGUUGAUGUGCCUUCUUGUUCUUCAUUUUGUAUGACUCUUAAUCAUAUCCUUCUCGUACCUUACAUCACACAUAAUUUAUUGUCAGUAUCCAAGUUUUCCAAUGAUAACAAAGUCAUAUUUGAAUUCUCUACUGACAAGUGUUUUUAUAAAAUCACAGGUUUCUAGAGCCAUAUUACUUGAAGGCUUUCUAGAUUCAUAUGGACUUUAUUAUUUUCCUCACCUGAUAGAGCCUUCAAGAUCUCCAUACCCCCUUGCUGCAAGCUUAACUCAUUUGUUUCCUAGUGUUAAUUCAUUUUCUUACUUUGUUACUUCUGAUUUAAGUAAACAUGUUACUAGCCUUCUAUGGCAUUAUAGGCUAGGUCACUCAAAUUUUCAAUCCAUUCAAAUGGCUCCUAAACAUUUUAAUAUAUCAAUUGUCAAUAAAACUUGUUCCUUAAUUUGCAAGUCAUGUUGCAUACUAGCCUGUGGGGACAUGCACUUUUUCCUUCUACCUUAGGAUAUCUUUACUAUGUUACCUUUGUCGAUGCAUUCACUAAGUUCACUUAGAUAUAUUUUCUAAAGCACGAAUCUAAAGCACUUCAUGCAUUCAAGUUAUAUGCAAGUUUUAUGCACACUCAAUUUUACACCAUAAUCAAGGCGGUGCAAUCUGAUUAUAUGGGAGAGUACAAGCCCUUCACCAAAUAUCUAAAUGAACUAGGCAUUCAACAUAGACUUACUUGCCCUUAUUCAUCUAAUCAAAAUAGCAAUGUAGAAAGAAGGCACAUGCACAUUGUUGAAAUAUGCCUCACUUUGCUUUCAUAUGCUUUCUUGCCCCUUCAACUUUGGGAUUAUAGUUUUACAUCAGUUGUACAUAUGAUCAAUAAGCUACCUUCAAUUGGUGCUUCAAAGUUUCAGUCACCAUACCAUGCUUUGUAUCACAAACUUCCCAAGUAUGACUCACUCAAGGUGUUUAGUUGCACCUGUUUCCCUCACGCCAGACCCUACAACAAGCACAAGCUUGACUUUACAAGCCAAGAAUAUGUGUUACUUGGCACAUCUUCUCAACACAAAAGGUACAAGUGCUUAAGCAAAAGUGGCAAAAUUUACAUUUCCAAGUAUGUCAUAAUUCAUGAGGACUUAUUCCCUUAUGUCUCCAUGUUUCCGUCCAAGCAUAAUGCUCCUGCUACUCAGUCAAGCUGUAAGAACAAAAAUUGUUCUACAACAGAUUCCUUGAUUUUGAUGAUAACAAAGGAUGAAACCAAAAAUGGCACCCUAACAAAAAGUUUCUAAGUGUGCAGGAUUCUAAAGAAAGAAGGAAGAACAAGAGAUAUUCCCACUGCGCAGCCUCUUAACUCCCUGAUACAUCAAUGCAGAUCAGAAGUGCAUUUCUGUAUGCAUCAGAAGGGUGUGAAUAUCUGCUUCCUGACUUCUCUUCAGAUAUCUCAGAGAUUCUGUAAGGGAAACCAGAAAACAACAUGAAGCCCAGAUCCAUAACAUCCCCUCUGGGAAGGCUCAUAUCUGAUGUCUCAUUGAGAAAUGGGUUGGUAGAAUCAAUCUGGAGAAAGCCAAGCCUGAUGCAAGAUCUGGCAAUAGAUACUGGGAAGCCUCUGAACGCCAGGAAAUCUCAAGAGUAAUGGGAAUAAUAAAGAAGAUUUCAAAGUCAGACCACGCUGGACACAAUCCUGGGAUUCCUUUGAAAAAUCAGAGGAAGCUGCCUCAUGGUCUUGUAGGUUCUACAAGAAGAACUCAGAGAAUGCGGUUGCUAUCUACUUAAUCUCUGCUGGAGAAGGUGUUCAUCUCUGACUUCAGGCCUCGACGAUUGGUCUAGACUCAGAAGAAGACUUCGUCCAGAUACAAGAGAGGGCUCUCAUUGAGAAGAAGAUAACAUCACAGGCAAAGAAGGCAAGACUUGGAAGAAUCCUCUGGAAGCAGAUCUCCCACUCCUCUGCAAAUUUCUAACUGGUACGUCUGUUCCUCAUCUUUCCCUCUGAAACCUCUGAUGGUUUCCUCUACNNNNNNNNNNNNNNNNNNNNNNNNNNNNNNNNNNNNNNNNNNNNNNNNNNNNNNNNNNNNNNNNNNNNNNNNNNNNNNNNNNNNNNNNNNNNNNNNNNNNNNNNNNNNNNNNNNNNNNNNNNNNNNNNNNNNNNNNNNNNNNNNNNNNNNNNNNNNNNNNNNNNNNNNNNNNNNNNNNNNNNNNNNNNNNNNNNNNNNNNNNNNNNNNNNNNNNNNNNNNNNNNNNNNNNNNNNNNNNNNNNNNNNNNNNNNNNNNNNNNNNNNNNNNNNNNNNNNNNNNNNNNNNNNNNNNNNNNNNNNNNNNNNNNNNNNNNNNNNNNNNNNNNNNNNNNNNNNNNNNNNNNNNNNNNNNNNNNNNNNNNNNNNNNNNNNNNNNNNNNNNNNNNNNNNNNNNNNNNNNNNNNNNNNNNNNNNNNNNNNNNNNNNNNNNNNNNNNNNNNNNNNNNNNNNNNNNNNNNNNNNNNNNNNNNNNNNNNNNNNNNNNNNNNNNNNNNNNNNNNNNNNNNNNNNNNNNNNNNNNNNNNNNNNNNNNNNNNNNNNNNNNNNNNNNNNNNNNNNNNNNNNNNNNNNNNNNNNNNNNNNNNNNNNNNNNNNNNNNNNNNNNNNNNNNNNNNNNNNNNNNNNNNNNNNNNNNNNNNNNNNNNNNNNNNNNNNNNNNNNNNNNNNNNNNNNNNNNNNNNNNNNNNNNNNNNNNNNNNNNNNNNNNNNNNNNNNNNNNNNNNNNNNNNNNNNNNNNNNNNNNNNNNNNNNNNNNNNNNNNNNNNNNNNNNNNNNNNNNNNNNNNNNNNNNNNNNNNNNNNNNNNNNNNNNNNNNNNNNNNNNNNNNNNNNNNNNNNNNNNNNNNNNNNNNNNNNNNNNNNNNNNNNNNNNNNNNNNNNNNNNNNNNNNNNNNNNNNNNNNNNNNNNNNNNNNNNNNNNNNNNNNNNNNNNNNNNNNNNNNNNNNNNNNNNNNNNNNNNNNNNNNNNNNNNNNNNNNNNNNNNNNNNNNNNNNNNNNNNNNNNNNNNNNNNNNNNNNNNNNNNNNNNNNNNNNNNNNNNNNNNNNNNNNNNNNNNNNNNNNNNNNNNNNNNNNNNNNNNNNNNNNNNNNNNNNNNNNNNNNNNNNNNNNNNNNNNNNNNNNNNNNNNNNNNNNNNNNNNNNNNNNNNNNNNNNNNNNNNNNNNNNNNNNNNNNNNNNNNNNNNNNNNNNNNNNNNNNNNNNNNNNNNNNNNNNNNNNNNNNNNNNNNNNNNNNNNNNNNNNNNNNNNNNNNNNNNNNNNNNNNNNNNNNNNNNNNNNNNNNNNNNNNNNNNNNNNNNNNNNNNNNNNNNNNNNNNNNNNNNNNNNNNNNNNNNNNNNNNNNNNNNNNNNNNNNNNNNNNNNNNNNNNNNNNNNNNNNNNNNNNNNNNNNNNNNNNNNNNNNNNNNNNNNNNNNNNNNNNNNNNNNNNNNNNNNNNNNNNNNNNNNNNNNNNNNNNNNNNNNNNNNNNNNNNNNNNNNNNNNNNNNNNNNNNNNNNNNNNNNNNNNNNNNNNNNNNNNNNNNNNNNNNNNNNNNNNNNNNNNNNNNNNNNNNNNNNNNNNNNNNNNNNNNNNNNNNNNNNNNNNNNNNNNNNNNNNNNNNNNNNNNNNNNNNNNNNNNNNNNNNNNNNNNNNNNNNNNNNNNNNNNNNNNNNNNNNNNNNNNNNNNNNNNNNNNNNNNNNNNNNNNNNNNNNNNNNNNNNNNNNNNNNNNNNNNNNNNNNNNNNNNNNNNNNNNNNNNNNNNNNNNNNNNNNNNNNNNNNNNNNNNNNNNNNNNNNNNNNNNNNNNNNNNNNNNNNNNNNNNNNNNNNNNNNNNNNNNNNNNNNNNNNNNNNNNNNNNNNNNNNNNNNNNNNNNNNNNNNNNNNNNNNNNNNNNNNNNNNNNNNNNNNNNNNNNNNNNNNNNNNNNNNNNNNNNNNNNNNNNNNNNNNNNNNNNNNNNNNNNNNNNNNNNNNNNNNNNNNNNNNNNNNNNNNNNNNNNNNNNNNNNNNNNNNNNNNNNNNNNNNNNNNNNNNNNNNNNNNNNNNNNNNNNNNNNNNNNNNNNNNNNNNNNNNNNNNNNNNNNNNNNNNNNNNNNNNNNNNNNNNNNNNNNNNNNNNNNNNNNNNNNNNNNNNNNNNNNNNNNNNNNNNNNNNNNNNNNNNNNNNNNNNNNNNNNNNNNNNNNNNNNNNNNNNNNNNNNNNNNNNNNNNNNNNNNNNNNNNNNNNNNNNNNNNNNNNNNNNNNNNNNNNNNNNNNNNNNNNNNNNNNNNNNNNNNNNNNNNNNNNNNNNNNNNNNNNNNNNNNNNNNNNNNNNNNNNNNNNNNNNNNNNNNNNNNNNNNNNNNNNNNNNNNNNNNNNNNNNNNNNNNNNNNNNNNNNNNNNNNNNNNNNNNNNNNNNNNNNNNNNNNNNNNNNNNNNNNNNNNNNNNNNNNNNNNNNNNNNNNNNNNNNNNNNNNNNNNNNNNNNNNNNNNNNNNNNNNNNNNNNNNNNNNNNNNNNNNNNNNNNNNNNNNNNNNNNNNNNNNNNNNNNNNNNNNNNNNNNNNNNNNNNNNNNNNNNNNNNNNNNNNNNNNNNNNNNNNNNNNNNNNNNNNNNNNNNNNNNNNNNNNNNNNNNNNNNNNNNNNNNNNNNNNNNNNNNNNNNNNNNNNNNNNNNNNNNNNNNNNNNNNNNNNNNNNNNNNNNNNNNNNNNNNNNNNNNNNNNNNNNNNNNNNNNNNNNNNNNNNNNNNNNNNNNNNNNNNNNNNNNNNNNNNNNNNNNNNNNNNNNNNNNNNNNNNNNNNNNNNNNNNNNNNNNNNNNNNNNNNNNNNNNNNNNNNNNNNNNNNNNNNNNNNNNNNNNNNNNNNNNNNNNNNNNNNNNNNNNNNNNNNNNNNNNNNNNNNNNNNNNNNNNNNNNNNNNNNNNNNNNNNNNNNNNNNNNNNNNNNNNNNNNNNNNNNNNNNNNNNNNNNNNNNNNNNNNNNNNNNNNNNNNNNNNNNNNNNNNNNNNNNNNNNNNNNNNNNNNNNNNNNNNNNNNNNNNNNNNNNNNNNNNNNNNNNNNNNNNNNNNNNNNNNNNNNNNNNNNNNNNNNNNNNNNNNNNNNNNNNNNNNNNNNNNNNNNNNNNNNNNNNNNNNNNNNNNNNNNNNNNNNNNNNNNNNNNNNNNNNNNNNNNNNNNNNNNNNNNNNNNNNNNNNNNNNNNNNNNNNNNNNNNNNNNNNNNNNNNNNNNNNNNNNNNNNNNNNNNNNNNNNNNNNNNNNNNNNNNNNNNNNNNNNNNNNNNNNNNNNNNNNNNNNNNNNNNNNNNNNNNNNNNNNNNNNNNNNNNNNNNNNNNNNNNNNNNNNNNNNNNNNNNNNNNNNNNNNNNNNNNNNNNNNNNNNNUCUGAUGAGUCUGUUUCGUUUUUCGUGUUCAGAUACAGAACCAGAUCAGAUACAAAUAUCAAUGAUCAGAAGCAUCUGAAGUGCAAACACGUUCAAGCAAGUCAAACUCUGAGCAAAACAUCAAGUAUCAAAGACUCUGAACAGAAGUAAGCUCUAGAAGUUCUGACUCUGAUCAACGCUAUCUCAAACUCCAGAACUUAAGCGCUAUCUGAUGAUCUAUCAGAAUCCAAAGAGAUCAACAUUCAGCAAGCAAGACCCAAGACUCUCAGAUAUCACGAAGAUUGAUCAUAAAAUGCUAAUAUGAAAGAGUACGUGAAGUUCAAGUAAAGAUUUGCAAAUGGAUUUCCUAAAACAGAAAGAGACUUAAUCUCCAAUUUCAAUAAAGGAAGAUUACUAUAUGUGGUAAGUAGUCAUUUCAAGGAGAGAAAGUUAUCCUGCAGAAGCAUUUAAGUGAUGCGUAAAUCUCUUUAUUACUCAUCAGUUUCAACUACUACCUCACUGAUCUAUAUAAGGACUGCAAAUCAACAUUCAAUAUAGAAAAUACAAGGAAAAUUAUACUGAAACAUCAACGCUCAAGAAAACACUCUUGCUCUCUAAAUUCACCGAAGGUGUGCUUAUAACGUGAAUCACUUUGCUCUUACUAUUGUAAUAUUUGCUUUCUUAGAAGCACUUUAGAUUACAUAAAUCUUUUAUCUAUUGUUUAUUAUUUCUCAAGUGACUUGUGUGUAGUCUGUAUACUUGAGAGGACUAAGAGAUCUUUCUCUUAGACGUUGUUUGUAAUCUUUCAAGAUUAGUGGAUUAAGUCCUUGUUGAAGGCGAAAUCACCUUGGCCGGCGGUGGAUGAGUACUUUGUGUUAGUAAGCGAACAGUAUAUAAAUCAUUGUGUGGUUUCAUUUUUGAAAAGAGCUUAUUUCUAAACAAUUCAACCCCCCCAUUUCUUGUUUCUCACUUCAACUGUAUCAGAGGCUCCGCGCUCUGUUAAUUGUAUUGUCUAAUCACACUUAACAGUGUAGUAGAGCAUCCCAGUACGAGAAAAACUUAGGCCCACUCAAAUGAAAAAGAUGGUACAAUGCUAGCCUCAUGUUGAUGGAGAGAAGGUUGACUACUGGAAAGAUAGAAGUUAAAGUUCUCUGGGUUAGAUGCUGAACUUCUGGGACAGUUGCACAGAUGGAUACAAACUCGCACAAGGGAUGGAGCUGAGUUCCAAAGUAAGAUGUCAGAUGAUCAAAAGAGUGUUAAGAAUCAUCACAAGGCCAGAACAAUAUCUCUCUAGAAUAAGCAACUACAACUGAGUAUGAAAAGAUGCACAAUAGAGAAACACCAAAUGACAUACUUGACUUUUGAGGAUGACAUGAAGGAAACCCAAGUCAAAGAGACAAAGGCUCUGCGGCGCUAUCAAAAUUGAACUUCAAAUGAGAAUGAAUGAGAAGCCAUAGAGCACGAAUGUUCUUCUAGAUUCCAAACUCUGAUUGCAGGUACUAAGGUCUACGACAAAGGAACACAACUGCAACCACUGUCAAAACGAUAGUCAGGAACGUUUGGCCAGAGAAAUGAGCACCUAUGGUUACUGCUACUGAAGCUGGUAAGGAUUGAACAAUAUUAGCUUGAAGAAACUUGGUCAGUUCCUGUCAGAAGCCAUGAAUAGAACUAGAGAAGAUGAGACUCAGAAACGGAAAAAGUUGUAGCAUUGAGUCCGACCUGAAAAACCAAACCUAGAACCAACAGCUCUCAGGUCAGAAACUGAAGAUAUGCAUACUCACUAGAAGAUUCGAUAUAAGAGAAUAAUCCCACUACCCGAAAGUUAAGCAACUCGGAAAAAGAGGACAACAACUGCGAAGACCAAGACCCGGAGGGAUCGAUCAAAACAACUUCAAAAGGUAAAUUAACAAAGAUAUUACCUGUUAUGAAUGUAAAGAAACAGGUGCAUUACAGAAGCAUGCCCCAAGUCUAAAGAAAGACAAGUCUAAAAUAAAAGCUCAAGAAAAAUACCUUCAGGACAAAAGAAAGAUGAUGGCUACCUGGAUGAUGGUGAAUCUGGCAUCAUCAAGAAUCUGAGCUCUGAUGAACAUGCCAAUGUGGCAGCUUGUAGCUACCACAUCCAGGAGUAGCUCAGACGAAGAAUCUGAUAGAAGUUCUGGGUACCAAAGAUAGAUUGUUAUGUGGCAGAUAUCCUAUGCAGCAAAGUUCAGAACACCCCUCUACCCCUUCCUCUAAUCCUCUCCCAACACCACCCAUUUAUACAACCUCUGAAAUCCCACCUUCAACCACCAGAACCUCACAACCUUCACCAAUUUUAAAUAUCGCCCGUACAUUCAUACCUCCCUCUGAACCUGAACAAAUGAACCAAAGCACUUCCUCUUCAUCAUCUUCAGAACCAGAAUCACCACCAUACCUUUCUAUCUCCUCUGACCAAGAAUACUCUGACCCUGACUCCCCAACCUUAGCUCAAAUUCAGGCUCAAAACCUUGCUUCACAACAAACACAAACACAUUCUGAAGCAACUUCACCUCCACCAGAACAAACAGCAAACAUUACUUCUGAAGACCAACCCUCUGAAACUCAACCCUCUGACAUCCACACCUCUGAUAUCGUCCCUCCAAACAUCUCCGCUGAAUCUGAACCAUUAGACUUAAACCCUCUUUACGCUUCACCCCAAAGAUCUGAACCUCAACCUGAAUCAGAAACUGAACCAGAACCUCUAACUCUAAAUCUCAGCCUUCCAACAUCUCCACCUCAUACCUCUGAACCUGACCUUUCUAUACCUACCCUUGAGGAAGCCAUCAUGCUGGUCGCAGGGGCUUCAGUACAAAAGGUCAAGUCUCUGACCACUAACUCUGAAGUCAGUGAAUUCAAACAAGGACUUAAUCCACUAAUCUUGAAAGAUUACAAACAACGUCUAAGAGAAAGAUCUCUUAGUCCUCUCAGUAUACAGACUACACAAAGUCACUUGAGGAAAUAAACAAACAGAUAAAAGAUUUAUGUAAUCUAAAGUGCUUCUAAGAAAGCAAAUAUUACAAUAGUAAGAGCAAAGUGAUUCACGUUAUAAGCAACAGCUUCGUGAAGAUUUAGAGAGCAAGAGUGUUUUCUGAGCGUUGAUGUUUCAGUAUAAUUUUCCUUGUAUAUGUUCUAUAUUGAAUGUUGAUUUGCAGUCCUUUAUAUAGAUCAGUGAGUAGUAGUUGAAACUGAUGAGUAAUAAGAUGAAUUUACGCCAUCACUUAAAUAGCUUCUUGCAGGAUAACUUUCUCUCCUUGAAAUCGACACUUACCACAUAUAGUAUCUUCUUUAUUGAAUUGGAGAUUAACGUCUCUUUCUGUUUUAGGAAAUCCAUUUGCAAAUCUUUACUUGACUUCACGUUACUCUUUCAUAAUUAGCAAUUUUAUGAUCAAAGUCUUCGUGUAACUGAGAGUCUUGGAGUCUUGCUUCUGAUGUUGAUCUCUUUGGAUUCUGAUGGAUUCUUCAGAUAGCGCUGAUAAGUUCUGGAGUUUAGAGAUAGCGUUGAUCAGAGUCAGAACUUCUAGAGCUUACUUCUUGUUCAGAUGCUUCUGAUACUUUGCUGUUUUGCUCAGAGUUUGACUUCUUGAACGUGUUUGCACUUCAGAUGCUUCUGAUCAUUGAUAAUUUGUAUCUGAUCUGGUCUGUAUCUGAUGACAUCAUCAGAUUUCUUCCUUCUUUCUUAGAAUCCUGCACACUUAGAAACUUUUUUGUAGGGUGCCAUUUUGUGGUCAUCCUUUGUUAUCAUCAAAAUCAAGGAAUCUGUGCUAGACACCACAUCGCUCUAUUCUAUGGAAAAUUAAAGCUGUUCGCUUUGACAACCACUCAUCCUCCGGUAUCCAAUACUUUUGGAUGAAUGGCGAGUCAUAUAAAAUUCAGAUCAAUAUGAGUGUAGCAGAUGAGAAUCGCGAGAUGAAUAAUAUGAGUGACCAGACUACUUAUUGCAUCAUAUCAGGAAAGCACUCGAGUGAUCGCACGCCUCGUAGAUAGUCCAUCCUUAUGAUGAAUCCCGAGAUAUUUGGUUUUAUUAAAAGAUAAUUAAUCCUAUGUCAUGGCAAAUAUGUGAGACAAGCAUGAUGUCCUUAAUACGUUACAGUACAAAUUGGAUGUCCAUAUGAAUGCUCCGCAACUGUCUGAAAUGUAUGAAUCGAUCUCGUCGUAUAGUGUUAAGACAAGAGCGAACGUCGCUUCUCUCGACUUAUGAUUAUAUCCAAAAGAUUUAGAAUUAACUUGGAGAUUUAGAAGCGUGGUAUUAUUAGUGACGAAAUAGAAAUAUUUCAAAGUAUUAUGGUGCGUUAUAUAAGCUCUCUCUCACUCGCGCCCUAUCUAGGAUCUCGAUGAAUCCAAAUAAUGGGUAGACAUAAGCCAUAUAAAAAAUAAAAACAAUUACCAAUGAUUCGAAUACUUUGGAGAAAUAGAUAAGAGCGAAACUAGCUUCAAGCUCCAGCUCAUCCCAAUAUAUCAGUUAACUAUAAAAGAUCUGAGCGAAAAAACUUUAGAAGUAAAUAUAAGAAUGUGAAUUCAGGAGAUAGCAGCAAAUUGUACAAAGCUAAGCAGCAAGAGCACAAAAAAAAUAUAUCCUAAGUGCCUCUGAGGGUUGGAUACGAUUGUCCGGAGGCAGGCGCAUAUACAUCUCAGAAAGCAACACUUUAACAGCAAAGCAAUGGCUGUGGACAUAAGUGGCUUGGACUGAAAUUGAACAAGUUGGUCAUUGGCUUUUAUCUCCAUAAGUGCUUUACCCAUGUUACUGAGAUCAUGAAGUCUAACAAUUAAUUACUAUGAAUCUGUGCUAAUUCUUCAAGAUUAUUGUAUCUGUGAUAUACACUCAAUUAGAAAUUAUAGAAUGGGUCCGAGUCAAACAGUGUAUAUUAGCUACAUUCAACCCUUGAGUCAAGAGUCGCUUACUACUAAUAGUCAUUAUCUAAGAGCCUUCAACUAAGUCCAACUAAUUGUAUAGUCUUUACAGCUUCAAUCAAAUAAUUAAGUAACGAAAACUAAUUAAUUAGUAAUUAAUUAAUUUCGUUCAAAAUUUAAUUAAUUAAUUUAAUUGUAAUUAACCCAGAACAAAAAGAGAGCAGCUUGCUUCUGCAAUAAUCGGACCAGAGCCUAGCUUCUAUCGCCUACCUUAUUUAGAACACUUCUCGGAGUUGCGACGCUCUCCACCAUUGCUCUCUGUCGUUCUUCCAGUGCUAAUCAUAAGUCGCACUUACAUUCUUUGCACACUCUCCUAAUCUGUGCAUUUUAGAGCUCUAACAUCCUCUAACCUGCUCAGCCUUCUGGCUUCAGAGUAUGGAGCCCUUAUAUUCUAUUAAUUUUGUUGGAACUGCUGGCGUCGUAACGACAUAUAAAGUCGAAUCCAUUAAUUUGAGAAUUCCGAUAAACGUAAUAAAAUAAAAUAGAACAUCUCAACAUAUUACAAUACUCGUGCGACAUUAUAUAAUCAUUAAAAGAAAUAUUAAUGAAUUAUCAGAUCUUAUCAUAAAAGGAACCAACCACGCGCCCUUGGUCUGCCAACUACAAGAUAACCAGAUGGGCCUGAAUCAAAUAAACCAAUUAGCCACUCAAUAAAAAAUAAAUAAAAAACAAAUACUGUAAUAAUUUAAAAGAAAUAUUUAAAAGCGAUGAUAAUAGAAAAACACCAGUUAAGGCAGAAGAUCAUACGUACUACACACAUGGCCCACCAACUAAGGCUACCCCUUUAGAAACAGCAACACCAACUUAAACAUGAGCCAAAAAAACGCUGCUCAUUCCUUCCAAAAUGGAACUCAGAUCAUUCAUCAUAUCAACAUUUUUUCAAUAAUUCACAACUCUAAGUUACAAAACAUAUCCAUACAAGAGACAGCUCUAAUGAAACAAUAACUAAAGCGUCGCUGUUAAUGUAUCCUGAUGCGUCCGAUUGACGGACAUAACACAACCAAUAACAUAUCUCAUGUAACACACAGAUAAAAUCCAACAUGAAAUGCAACGUAAAUUCCAAAUCGCGAGCAAACACAGCCAUCCAUGAAUCACAUAUUCAUUACACUUAGUGAUUAGAAAAAAUAUCCAGCAAGGUUGAAAAUAAGCAACAACAACCAGAUAGUGCACCACUGAAGAUUGAAGUAUUACCGAUUUAGCAGGAAAUUGGAUCGGAGUACUCUUUGGUGCCUCACUGAGUUGGACUUGGAUCUUAAGGACCGCAAUGCGAUGUCCUCUAUUAUCUUUCUCCGUUUCCCACGUGGCCAAGAUGUUUUCAUUCAACAAACAGUUGGUCGGUACGGUUCAUGAUUUUCUGAUGACGAUAAUCGCACCUUCCUGUUUGUGGCUCGACGACCUCGUGGUGGUUGAUAUCACCGGCGGGUAUGUUAGGUUGGGUCGUCGUCGGCGGAAUGGAUUUCGGCUGGCGAUGAAGAAGUUCACGUGGAAGGUUGUGUGAAUCAGAGAUUGGUGAGUUGGAGGAGAACGUUUUGGUGGUUUUGUGGUGUCUCGGUGGUUUUGAGUGUAGACGACAGUUCGUUGUCGGCGGUGGAGUUUCGCGCCGGUGGUUGUGGUGAGCGGAGUUGAUGGGUUUGUUGGAGGAUAGGUGCAAGGUAGUGCGGAUGGAGGUUGACGCCGGGUUUUUGCCGUUGUUACUAGGCGUGCGUGAUUGUAGUAUCUAGCGGCAGAGGAGGCGAAGGGUUCGUAUGGUGAAGUGGGAUUUUCCGUUGGGGCUUUGAAGUAAGCAUUGGUGCGGUAGACGAAAUUGGAUUUUUGCGUGGUUGGCUUUUGCGUCGGCAGAAAGAGCGAAGCAGAAAGGAGUCACCGAUGGCGUAGUGGAGCCGCUUAUCGUGUGCGUGAAGUUGUCGAGAAGACUCCUCUGUUUCUUUUCUUUUAUUUUGUUAUUUUUCCUGCAGAGAGUGAGUCUGUCAGGUGAAGAGGAUGUCCAUUGUGGCUCUCGAAAUAGAGCAACAGGAGAGGAAAGUUUAGUCGUUUUGCUUUUUCUCUUUCUUCAUCGAGCCUUUUUUCUUUUCCUCUUUUUUUAGAGAAGGUGAGAGCGGCACGUUUUGUUCCUUUUGGUUCUCUCCUCCCCUCUUGUAACCUGUUAGCAUUCCCUUCUAGCCUGUAAUAGAUUUUGUCUAUAAUUAAAAUAUUCAUUAGCUAACAUGUGGAUAUUCUCAGUAGGAAUAAUCCUAUGUGCCACGGUGUCAUCGAAACAUUAAAGCUCAAUUAUUACCUUCACUUAUUUAUUAUUUUCUUGAUUUUUCUUGCUUAAUAAUUCAAAAUAAUUAUUAUUUAUUGUGUGAUAACAAAUAAUUCUGGGAUUAAUGCAAGUGAUAUCUUUGAUUAAAUCAAAAUCGUCGCGUCCAGAUUAGAGAUCGAAGAAGCACCACUUAAAUUAAAACAUGGCAAAAUUACCCUUUCUAGAUGAUUUAAUUUAUUUUUAAAAUAUUAAACCAAUAAUAUCAUAAUAACAAUUGACAACUUCCUUAAUGUUAAUUGUGUAUAAAAUAAACUAAGGACAUGGAAAAAUUCGAUUUAUUUAAUCUGAAUAUUUUAGCGAAUGAAUAAAAAAUAAAAUGAAUAAAUUCGGCGAAAAUUUGACUCGAAAAAUUUAAAAUCGGACGCACCAAAAUGAUCAGCAUAAAAAUAUACUUAUUCAAAAAAUACAACGUCUUCUUAAUUUUCUUUAAAAAUUUUUCAUCGGUUAAAAAGCUCAGACGGAUUAAAUGAAGCUGUAAAAGUCAUUAAAAUAUAACCAAGCCACACCAGACUGAACUACGUGAAACGUAGAUAAAUAAUACUGGCGGUCUGCAAGUUUAAUUUUCGAAACUUUUACCAAUGGUUUUGCGCUUGUUUUGAGAAAAUGAUUUAACAAUUGUCUGUAUUUUAAAUAUUAUAUUCCGACUUUGCACUAUAUUCAGGUAUUAUUCAUUGAUGAAAUGGCUUGUCAUGUUUACAUAUGAUGCGGUUAGAGAAAUGAAAUCAAGUUUUAUGAAAUUUAAAAAAUGCUCUGGAGAAAUUGGGGUAUGGACACAAACUCACAAAAGCCUAUAAUUGACCAACAAUUUUUACCUAAAUACAUUCAGAGUUACGAUAUACCUAUAACAACGGUGUUAGGACUGUAAUAAGGAGUUUCGAUGAUUUAAUAAUCUUAGUCGCCCAAAAUAAAACUAUUAUAUCACAUAUGGAAUUACAACAUGCCGCGUAAUAAUCGGUUCAUCGAGCGUAAUUCUCAAACAAUCAUUUUUUUUAAAAUUUCCCCCACUUAUUAGUGGUGGGUCCCAUAAAAUAACCACCCACUUAACUCCAUAUCCUCACAAUUUCUCUCGCCAUAAAUUGAGUUUUCAUCCACUUUCUAUCUCCCAUUAUCUUACUACACUCCUCGAAAAACCUAAUCAUCUUCUCCAACUCUCACUAUAAACCCUCAUCACUAAACUACCAUACCAAACCUUUCAAAAACUUCACACAUCACAAUUAAAUAACAUUAAAAUAGCCCUAUAUUUCCAUCACCUUUCAUUCAACUACAAAACCAUAAAAAACCUCAAGUAUCCCCAAAUCCUAAAACAUGCAAACCUCUCUUAAUUAUAUUUCUCUUUAAGCAACAGUGACACCAACCUCUGAAGCACCUUUAUGACACGCCAAUAGCCCCCUUAAGAAUGUGACAAGCGAUGCUGGAACAUCCCACAGACGCUCUAGGAUUCCCCCUUCCCUUGGGACACAUCAGGAGGCAUUUAAGGAUAAAGAGAUGGACCAUCUAGAAUGGAAAAACCCAUACGGGAUAACCUUAAGAGACUUAUAUCAACAACACGUCUUCGACGCUAAGGUUUGUUGGGGAAUAAAUUCUCCAUAGGUAUAUUCACGCAGCCCUACCUUAGAAUCUCUUGCGUUCUUUAGCUAAUGUUAGUGGAUGUUUUUGACCCAAAUUGGGUAGAGGACACUUUUUGUCUCUUAAAAACCCCAUGUACGCUAAGACUAGUCUAGAAUUACCUCAGCUCUCGUUAAGCGUGAAAUUAAGAGUAAAUUAGCGAGGACACUAUGGUGUGUUGUGUUAAAGAUGUUUAAUGAAGAGCCAUUACUACGAUAAAACACAUAUAACUCGUUGGAUGAGGUUGAUAAAUCUUAGUUUGAUAUGUGAAGAACUCGGUAACGAAAGACGUCAUAAGAAGUAGUACUACAUACCUCCUUGUUUCUGCGUAUUACACAAAAGGGGAAAGAAUGUACAUGGUCAUGCGUUCAAUCCCGUUAGCGAUAAUAUUUUUGGAUUUUUUUUAAAUGUGAGAAUAAACACAUUUCCUCUCGGUUUUUAACAUUUAGCCGAAGAUUACAACCACCAUUUGAGUUUAUUAUUUUAAUAGUAGUUGCUUAUUUCACAAAGCCUUUAACGAACAUCUGACUUUCAAAUUGGAUGACAAAAUAAUUAUAUGUAACAAUUAUAUCUUAUUUGAAGAAACAACUUACAUUAAUCAAUUAUGUUCGAGCAUUUAUACCUCAUGUUCAUCUCUCAUUCUUUAAUGCGUUCGAAAUCUCGGUUUCAAUAUUUUCAAAGUUUCCUAAUGAUAAGAACAACAUAGAAGACAUUUAAGAUAUAUUUUAACCAUGUAAGGCGUGACAUGAAUCCGAUUGAGUAUACAAAAUGCUCAAAAAAGAUUAAUUUGCGUAAGUGUUGGUUUCAAACUAUAACUCUAUCAAUUUUAUAUUAUUAAUUUAAAAUCAAAAAUUUAAUAGUAAUAUGUGUCACAAGAGUGGAGAUAGUGAAACUAAACAAUUCAUUUUUAAAUAUAAUAAAACUCAAUCUUAGUUUUUAUUCACCUAUUUAAUAUCCCCUUGACACAUGUUCGCCCAGCAACAUAUAUGAUGAGUUGUACAAAGAAUAACAAUAAUUUAAAACAACAACAAAUAUUUUCAAAACAUUUCUAGCAGAAUAACUAAACAACAAUCAACAAUCAAAAACAAUAAUGAAAUAACAACAAUCGACAAACAACAACAACAAGAAAAAGAUAAACAUUAAAUCUCAAUUUAAACAAUAACAAUAUUAAACAACAACUCAAAAAUAAAACCACUACUCAACAACAACUACAAUCAACAUCACAACACAUAAACUUAACUGUACUUAUUCCUCAACUAAGAAACGUGAUGUUGGUACAGAGCAUUGGAAGUUUGGACGCAAUUCUUCUUCACCUAUGAAUGGAUAAGUCUUUCAAGCACUAUCAUGACUGUGGAGAACAAUAGAAAUAUGGGGAGUUGCAUUACUCUGAAAAUAACCCAUUGAAGGAUUUUAUAAAAUUAAAGCUCAAGCUAACGACUUUAAAAGUGAGUUGCUCUAAUGAGAGAUAACCACAAGUUUUUAUUUACAUGUUAUGUUUUUGUUUGUUUUGCUAGGAAAAUAAAAGAGAUCACCAAGUUUUGAGAGAAUAUGUGUGCUAAACAAAGCCCACAUAUCAGAAAAUUUCGAAUUUGAAGAGGAUUCACAAAUAAAUGACAAACCCACCAAAAGCCUAUCAAUGCCAUAAUAUUUCUUACCUAAAUACAUUCAGAGUUACUGCUUAUUACCCGUAAAAAGGUGUUGGCGACCGUCAAUAAGGAGUUUCGGUGAUAAAACUCUAAGCGCCCCAAAAACUAUUUAUAUCACACAGAUGGAAUUUACAAACAUGCUCCUAAUAAUCAAUUACUAGCGUAAUUUCUAAACAACACAUUAUUUAAAUUCCCCCCACCUAUUAUGGUGCUAGGUCCCAUCAAUAACCACAAUAACUACCAAUCCUCACAAAUUCUCUCACCAUAAAUUGAGAUUCAUCCACUUUCUAUCCUCCCAUUAUCUUAAUUACCCACUCUCGCAAAACCUAAUAAUCUUCUCCAACCUCUCCAUAUAAACCUCAAUACAUUAAACUACCAUUACAGACCUCAAACUCGCACAUCACCAUUUAAAUAACAUUAAAAUGCCCUAUUCCAUCACCAUUCUUCAACUUACAAAAAAAACCAUGAAAACCUCAAAGAUUCUCUAAAAUCCUAAAACAUUCAAACCUCUCUUUCAUACUAUUUCUCUUAACAACAAAUGGGCCCCAAACUGCUGAAGCAAACUAUAGGCACAAUAGUAAAGAACUGGAAAAGGAGUUGGAAAUAUCCCAAUAGAAGGGGACGAGAAGAAAGGAGGACCUAGGAUCCUCUAAGAAUGGUAUUAAACCCAUACGGGAUAACCUUAAGAACCUUAUAUCAAAACAAACACGAUUCGACCGUUAAGGGUUUGUUGAAAGAAUAAUUCUCAUUAGGUAUAUUUCCAACAAGCCUAACCUUAGAAUCUCUUUGGGUUGUAGCCUGAUGUGAAGUGAUUGUUUGGCCAAAUUGAGCUANUCAAGAUUAGUGGAUUAAGUCCUUGUUGAAGGCGAAAUCACCUUGGCCGGGUGGACUGGAGUAGCUUUGUGUUAUAAGCGAACCAGUAUAAAAUCAUUGUGUGGUUUUCAUUUUUGAAAAAGAGCUUAUUUUCUAAACAAUUCAAACCCCCCAUUUCUUGUUUUUCUCACCUUCACAAGCAUCUUUGAGUCACUCUUAUUUCCAGCCCUAUCUUCCUCACUCGUGGUUUUGAUCCGCUGUCGCGCGCGAAUCAAAACCGAGUUAUUUUGAAAAUGUAGUAUAACGACAAUGACUCAAAUCGUCUCUCAAAGAUUCUUGAUUAUUACUAACCAAAGGUAAAUCGAUUUAGGGGGGGUUGGAUUCAGGAUCGAUUAAGGAAAAAAAGCGAUUAUUAAAUAAGUGAUUAUUGAAAUAAGUUCUUAUGAAAUAGGUGAUUAUAAAACAAGCGGAUUCACUGUGUCAGGUUCAACUUAUCAUCGAUUGCUACAACUACGACUUCUAUCCUAUUUGAACACAAUAUCAUUCAACAAGCGCGAUCGACACUGUAAGGUAUAUAUUCUUAUUGUCGGAUUAAGCAUACAGUUAUAGAUAUCACAAAUUUAACGGUUAAGCAGAGUUGAAUUACGAUCAAAAGUCAAGAACAUAUAUCAUUCAAAUUUAUCCAACAAUAUUACAUGGAAAUCAGAUUGAGCAAACAACAAUCAUAUAAUAUUAUUGAAAGGAAUAGAAUUCUAAUUGCAAUUAUAACAAUCUCAAAGUAGUGAACCUGAAUACAACAAAUCCGUCCGGAAAGAUUAGUUCUCCAUUACGGUUCUUUCAAGCGUAAGAAAAAUAAUUCAUGAAUAGUAAAAAAACGUGAAUAAUGUUUUCGGCUACUAGGUGUUAGGGGAAAACCAAGGCAAUCCGUUUACAACCCAACUGGGUCAAAUACAUAACCCAGGCCCAAAACUAAAAUAAAACUAAUGCUGCAGCUUCAAACGAAAUUCUGGAAAAUAAGCGCUCCAAAUCUGACUUCCACUCCAAAACGAAAGUUGUAUCUCUUUCUCUUAGUUUUCUGGAGAUUAUUAGAACACGUCAAUCGGAUUCCCGGAGCUCUAGUUAUGAUCGUUUUAGUGCAGACUAUUAAAGCUGAAAAUUAAAUACGAAAAUCAAAUAACAAUAAAAAUAAACUAAAAUAUAAAAAUAUUAUAAAACAUAAAAGUAAGCAAAGGAAAUCAAAGAAAUGCUUAAGAACAAACAUAGGAGAAUGUGCAUUAAAAUGCACUGAUCAGUUCCAUCACCACCCACUGAUAAUACAAUGGGUGUAGGUUACUGUGACACACCUGAACUUGGACAUUCACCAAUCAAUUUGGCUGAACAACCUGCACAUGCUUUUGACCAUAUUGGUGUGUCAAGUUCUUCAUCAUAUAGGGAUCAUAAUCCUAUUCUAAGUCCCUUAUUAUCAGCACUAGUUGGUACCAUUAGAGGAAAUGCCUACCAAUUCAACUGAUUUAACUCUUCUUUCAUUCAACAGUCAUUGUCGUACCCCCAAAUUUAACCACUUUUUCUUGCUAUUUUCAGAGACUUUACAAGUCAACCCCAAUGACCUAAAAAGUCAAAGGGGAAACAUUUUGACUUUUCUAGACCCUUGAUCCCUUUUUUUGGUCAGCUAAUACUAAUAGGUUAAUAUUGUCAAAUUUUUUUAGGGUUGGUACCAAGGUUAGUUGGUUACUUAAUUUUUGUCUAGAAUUAGUAAUAUGGUUAAUUAGGUUUUGGUUAAUAUUGGUAAAGUUAAUGAGAUUUUAUUUAUCUAAUAUUAAAAUUCUUUAUUUAAGUUGUUAGGUUAAUUAUUUUUAAAGUUGAUUAAGUAGUUGAUUAAAUUAAUUAAAUUAAAUUAAUUAAAUUAAUUAAAUAAGUGAGAGUUUGAUUAAGUAGUUGAAUUUCUUAUUAUUUGUUUAAUAGUAAGUAGGGAGACGAGUCCAUGCCCAUUUCAUUUGGGUCCAACGAGUGACCCAAGCCCCGGGUCCAUUGGGUCAAGUAAGAUCCAUCCUCGUCAUAUAAACUGGGUCAAAUGCGAUCCGUAUUAAUCCCUAACAUCCCCAUCAGCGUUACUCGAAAAACCUUAAUUCUCACAAUCAGAAAUCAAAAAUGGAUCAAAUGCACUAGAAUCAAAUCUUUCCCUUUUCAUUUCAACAUGAAUACAAAUUUGUGAUUUACAAAUGAUUUCGGACCAUAUACAUUGCAAUCUCAACCCUAAUUCUAUUUCUAAGAAAAAUCAAAAUUAGAAUCAAAUUUGAUUCAAUUAGAUCUCAAUCUAAUAUAAAAUUACCUAAAAUAAAUCAAUCAAAUUAAAAGCAUAAAACCUAAAAUUCAUCUAUAAAUACAAAAAAUUUCAUAUGAAUAUGGGAUGAAAAGAAAUCCCUAACAAAAAAAUAAUAUUGCUUCUGCAAAUUCCUUUCCAUCACCAAAGCUCCGAAUAAGCAAAAAUUAGGGUUUCACAUCGAAACCCAAAUUCUACCAUAGAUCUACCAUCACCCAAAGAUCUCGCACCAGAAGAAAAAAAAGUCAGAGAAAGGAGAAAAGAACAAUAAAAAAGAAAAGAAAAGAAUUAAGGUUUACCUUUUUAUCGGAAUAAGUCUUCGUUCCGUAGGUUGGUUUUCAUCCCUUCAUACCUUAUCUUUGAUUUUUGUUUGCUCUAGAUUGUUAUGAUUGUUUAAUUUUAAUUUUUUGGGGUAACUGAAAGGGAUUAGGGUUAGGGGAAUUCAGGGUUGAUUUUGAAGGAUUUGUUGUUUGAUUGGGGUUUAGGAAAGGCCAAUCUAUGGAUCAACCACAGUUUAAGGUUUGAUUUGGUUGAAGUUUGGUGUUUCUGGAAAAGUUUAAGGUUAAGGUUCUUCAUCCCUAGGGUUGGGGUUCAUAAUAUGAACCCCAGGGUUCAUCUAGUUAGCAUAAAGGGUAGGGUUCUUCACGUUCUAGGGUAAAGGUUCAUCUGCGGGGUUAGGGUUCGUGGAUUUCAGUAGGUUUCUUAGGGUAUGAUGAUUUUUAGGUUGGAAGCUUGAAUGUUCAAAUCUUUUGGUUGAAGUUCAAUCGGAAAAUUGAAGGGUGUGGUUGUUUUGAUGAUGGUUUCUGGAAGAAAAAAAAGGGUGGCUGAAGGUUAAGGAUUCAGUGAAUAUUUUAGAGAGGAGGAAGAGAGAUUGAGAGAGUAGAGAGAGAAAGAAAAAAUAAAAAUGAAAUGGAUCAAAUGAAGUUUAAUUAUAUGCUUCCUCUGUGUUCCCUCAGAUGCAUGCCAAGUGGCAUUCCGAAGAGGUCCAUAUCAUUUGACUAUCCCAGUCAACUAAUGAUCUCACAUACCCAUGUGUACCAUGUUCCCUUAUUGACUUUAGAUAUGAAACCUUCAUCCUGCAUACAUUGAUUGGUAAUCCAGAUCGGAGGCUGCGAUCUGAUCCCAUCAGAUCCGUGUGAUCCAAAUCGAGAGGCUAAGAGAGAGUCAAACUUUAACCAUCUCUCUCCAUGAACCAUUCUUCCCACGUGGGCCUCAGAGAGCCUCUGGGCUUUCUUUCAAUGCUUUUCACACACCCUAAUCAGGAGCCCAUUACUUUUAUAGUCAAGAAUACACCCUCAUUGGAUUUAAUUAAUUAAAACUUUUUUUUUCUAUUUCUAUUCUAUUUUCUAAUUACUUCUCCGCCCCCAAUGCGUGAGAGUUUUUAAGUGAUAAAAACAAUAAACAAACAAAUAUUUUCUACCAGAACUACAGAAAUUUGAUCCUUUAACGAACUUGAGGGUACGUAGGCAUAUAGUUGUAAGACUCUAGAGAGUAUAGUAAUAAAAAACUUCUUAGGUCCUACUUUAUUAAAUUAGGUUUCAAAACAAUUUGUUAAUAGACAAAUAGUUAACCAAUAUUGAUAAUAAAGCUAAUAUCCUUAAGCAAGAAUAACUAACCCUAGAACUUAGAGGAUGAUCCCAUUUAGUAUAACAGAAGUGAGGGGUGCCUAGUACCUUACUCUCACUUAACCGACUCCCAAACCUAGUCUUUCACCCUUAACCAUUAAGUUUUAUCAUUAUUUCCCUAUUUAUUAAGAACAAAUAAAGGAUAAUGGCGACUCUGUAAAUUUUCCAGUCGCGACAGUCAUGAUUCAAGGUAUUCCUAUAUUCACAACUCUUCAAUUCCACAAGUAUAUCAACUCAAUGAGCAUCAUAUAUUGAUUCAAGCUAAAAUAAGUAAUUCAAAACCUAAAAAUUUUCUUACACAAGUUAAGUUUGUCUUCAUUAAACAAGCUUUAGCUCACCCUGACUAGUUAAAUGCUAUGAAUAGUGAAUAUGAAGUGCUUCUUGCCAAUCAAACAUGGUCCCUAACAUCUCUUCUACCUCAUAGAAAGCCCGGGGAAUGUAAGUGGGUGUUCAAACUAAAAGAUAACCCAAAUGGAACUAUUAACAAAUACAAAGCAUGCCUUGUAGCAAAUGGAUUCCAUCAACAAUUUGGCUUUGAUUUCAACGAGACAUUUUCACUUGUGGUUAAGCCAACCACUAUUCGUCUCAUACUUACACUUGCUCUCACGGAUAAUCGAGAACUUCAGCAAGUUGAUGUUAAAAACACAUUUCUUAAUGGCUCAUUGCAAGAAAACAUUUAUGUGACUCAACCACCGAGCUUUGAAAGUUAAGAUUCCUCGCGUGUAUGCAAACCUCACAAGGUGCUUUAUGGGAUCAAGCAAGCCAAUUGUGCAUGGUAUGAGAAUCUUACACAUAAGCUAGUGCACUUUGGCUUCAUACAUAGCAAUUGUGAUAACUCCUUAUUUGUUUACAAACAUCAACACAUCACUCUUUUUGCUCUCAUAUAUGUGGAUGACAUUUUGCUCAUAGGAUCAUUGUAACACCCUAAAACACCAUGACUCUUAUUUAAUUAAGUUCGUGAAAAUCAAACAUUUUUAAACACCAAGGGUGCCACAUAUCUCUUUAACACAAAUAUACUUCUCCAAACUUUUUCAAAAAAUAGGCAGUGAAUAAUAUCAACAUGUUCAACUGAAUAAAUCUAAACAGAUAGUUCAAUACUCAAGCAUGAGACAAAUAAUCCCAUAAAUCUAAAUAAAAAAUGAAACUCGUCUCAGUGUUACAUAUCAGAGCGACACCGCGGAACUAAACGAAACUAAAAAAAUGUAAACAAAGAAGAAGGUAAUAUGCAUCAUUCUCCAACUCAUAGCUAAUGCCCUCUACUUGUAUCUGCAACAUAGGCAUAGCAAGCUACGCAAUAACAUGAAAAGGGUGAGAAUAACUUUAUAGAAGUUAUUAGUGUAUUAGUCAACAAGGAUAACAUACAUAAACAUCUCGCAAUCAUACACAAAUAACAAUAAUAAAUCAUAAUGCAAAUGUACCAGUGCAAUGUACUCCUCAUAAAAAAAUACACGUGGUACCAAAUUUUUGGAUAUUUGAGUUAUUUUACUGAAUUAUCCAUGUUUCUAAUUCCUCUCUAGAAAAUUUCUCUUUGGAGAAUGAGAGUUUCACUGGCUAUCUCUGAGCAAUGGACCAUGUCACUGGCUCUCUCUGAGCACUGAACCUCGUCACUAGCUCUCUUUAAGCACUGGACCUCUUCGGAAUGAAGUCCUACCUAAUUCUAAUAUAAUGCAUGAACAUAUAAUUCAAAUCACAACUCAUAAUCAAUCAACAAAUUACAACUCAUAUCUUGCAAUAAUGUUCUCUUUGAACGAAUUCCUUUUUGGAUAAGGUUCCCUCUGAGCCACAAUUUGCUAAUGCAAGACCAACACGAUAGUUCUCGUUGAACUACACAACUCGAAAAUAAUGUUAUAUAAUUAAAUCUCAAUAAUUAUAUUAAAAAUAACAUAGUAAAAUUGUAUUAUUACUCAGUAACUCAAAACACACAACAACUUAAUUUUCCUUAUCAACUCAUAAAAUUACUCAAAAAUAUAUUGAUAGAGUAAUAGUUAUAUCUCAUACUCGCAACUCAUCAAAAGGGUAAAAUCCUUAUCUUUUACUCAACAAAGUUCUCAAAUUAACUCUAAACAGCUCUACAACAAUCUCUACAAGUUAAAAACAACUCUAAAGUGCUCAAUAGACAACUCUUGCAUGUAAAAAUAACUAUUAUGAACUCUAUUGGUUCGCGACCUGACUCAAGUAAUAAUAAAACAACCCUAAAGUAGAAAAUAUGACUCUCUAACUUUUCAAAAGGGUAACGAAAAGUCACCGGUUUCGAAAUCUCUCAAAACCUCAUCUAUUGGAAAGCAAACCCGGAUGCCAACCCUAUUUUUUUUUACUUUUUCGACUUUUUAUAGAAAAAUGAUUUUAGGAUUUCUCAGGAAAACUUGGGCCAUUUGGGAUUUUGAUUAUCCAUCACUCAAAAGAAACUAUCAAUUAUAUAACACAGAUAGAGCAUAUUCAAAUUAUCAACAAACUAUCUUAUAAAGGCUACUAACAAAUUCAACAAUGAAAAAAAACAUGUUGUAAAUCAUCAUAAAAGGCCUUAUAGAAAUAAAUUUUAUAUAAAUAAAAUGAAUCAUGUUUUUAGACCUACUUGUUUCUAUUUUAAUGCAAAAAGCCAUACUUUUAAAGCUUGCUACAUAAAAAAUUAUGGAAUUCCUUAUGGUGAAUAUGUAUGAGUGAGAAAUGGAUCAACCCAAGAGGACCCAAAUGAUAUUGAGUAUCAAAACACUGUUAAUUGUUUUGUAGAUACUUUAAUAUCAUAUGUUAGUAUUUUCAAAUCAAGAUUGUUCUUUUAAGAUACAAGACCAUAUGAUAUGAUAGUUCCAAAAUUUUCAUUGAAUGAAAGAUAUUUUGAAGAAGCAUCAAUAUUGAUAUCAACUUUGACUUUAUAUGAUAGUAUUAUGAAGAAUAUAGGUCAUUUUGUGCUUAAAUGUAUAAUUUCCCUUAUAUUAUUAUACUCCUUUUCUUUUUGAUAAUAUCAAAAGGGGAGAGAAUAGAGAUGAUUAUUUUUGUUAAUUUUCAUAAUACCAACGACAUCAUAGCAUAAAUUGCAAAAUAAAGGGGGAGAUAUGAAAGAUACACGGGAGAUAUACAAAAUCAAGUGUCAAGCCAAAACUUCUCAUCAUUGAAUUUUUUUCAUCAUAAAAAAGGGUGGAGAUUGUGAAUAAGAUGUUCAUCAUCAUCUUAUCAUUUAUUUUGAUGAAGAAAAAAAGGUUUAUCUGAGAAGAAAGAUAAAAAAGAGAAAAAUAUUGAAAUCAAGUUUUAAAGAUUAGUUAAGCUUUGAUAAUCAGUGGAUUAAAGAUGAAGCAAAGGUAUAAUAAUUUAAAUAAUUUUUUAUAGGCAUUAGGUGCUCAUAACUUCCAUCUCAUACCUUCUAAAGUUUGUCAAAAUAUUGUUACAUGAUUUACUUUUAAAAUGGAUUUCAACUUAGUCAAUUUUCAUGUUUUUUACUAGGGAAAUCAAUUUCUCUUUUGAAGAAAUUUUUUUCAUUCCUCUCUGCCAAACGGAUUUUGAAAUAACCAUGAAGGGAAAUAUAUUCCUCCCCUUUGGUAAAUCAAUUUACCCAGUCUUGAUUAUAAGCGGUAUGUAUCGACCCACAUCCUUAUAUGUGUCAAUACAUUUAAGGCAUAAUAUUUAUUUUUAAAAGUCCUGCAGUAUGUAUCGACCCAUGGGCUUGAUGUGUCGACCCAUAUACUUUUUUUUCAUAAAAAGUCAAUUUCUUCACUAUGUAUCGACCCAUAGACUAUAUGUAUCGACCCGUGGACUUGUUUUUCAUGAAAAAUCAUAAUUUUAAUUUGUAAUGACUUAUCUAACCUGAUUUUAUGUGUCCUAUUAUAAUAAUGCACAUUUAGACACAGACGAUAAGAUCCAAUGUACACAAAAUACUAAGUGUCAUAGUUUUGAAACCAUUCAAAACACAUAUAAGAGGAUGAUGCACUUACAUACUCCCCUAUUUUAAUGAUGGAAAAACUUACGAAGCAUUUGGUGUCUUGAUUAUAGGUCCCCCUGAAUAUGUGCAUCUUAAGAACUUGUACUUAUCACCCUUUGAUAAUAUCAAAAGGUGACAAAGGUACAAGACGUGAGAAGUAUCGUUGAAAAUUCACAACAACAUAUAAAUCACUCAAAGGCAUUACAAAGAUAAAAGAUUCAACUAUAACAUGAACUUACGUAGAAUUGCAUCAAAUUGAAACAAGGCAUAAACAUAAAUACACAACCAAGUCAUACAAAAGAGAUGAAUUUAAUUACAAAUUUGUCAUAAGAAGGUCACAAUAGAACAACAUAAUAAUAAACAUAAAAACAUGAAAAUAGAAAUGCAUGCAAGUAUAUAUGGAGAACAUGAUUUAACACUAAUAACAUAAAAAAUACUUCAAAUUUGAAGAAACAAUAUCAUGAAAUAUAUAUGAUGGUGAAAUCAAACAUGAUAUCACUAUAAGCAUAUAGAUUGAAAAACUCACGGGUAGUCAAUGAAUUUUUUAGAAGUGAACAAACAUGAAAUUUAUCAUACAUCACGCAAUGUUGGAACAUAAACAUGCAAUCAAAUAUAAGAGUCAUAGAUAAGCAAUAAAAGAAAACUUAAGAACAAAGAGAUAAUUUGAGAAGGAUAUUACCUCAUAGGAUGAGAGACAAAGGAUACACUCAUAUGAAAUAAAACUUUCGAAUGAAUGUUAAAACAAAUGUAAAAAGUGCAUGCAACAAAAUAUAUUAAGCAAGAUUUGAGAUAUCGAGAAUGCCCAAUUCCCAUCGAAUAUUGAAAAACAUCUCAGUCGCAAAAGGUUUUGUGAAAAUACCGGCAAGGUGGUUUUUGCUAUCAGCAUGUUCAAAAAUGGCAUCGCCUUUUUCAACAUGGUCGCGAAGGAAAUGGUCACGUAUCUCAAUAUGUUUAGUACGACAAUAUAGCACUGGAUUUUUGGUUAGGUUAAUAGAACUAGUGUCAUACCCUUAAAUUUGCCCUACCCAAUAUCAUCCUCUUAAGCCUUAAACCCUAAGCGUACAUCCCAUACAUAUCAUAUGCAUUUGUGCUUGAUGACCACAAAUAUCCCUAAGCCCAAGGCAUGGGAUUCAUCUACAAAGCCUUAAGAUCCUCUGAUCAUGUUGAGUUGUGCCCAAUCCACCUUAACCCCAAUCUCAUCCUCAAGCAUCCCACAAAUCUUAGAGGACCACUCAAGACAUCUCACUCACUCCCAAAAUCCAAUUUGGGUGGUGAGUCUCCUUUGAAGAAGCUUCAAGAUUCAUCUGGUCAUCCAAGGACCAAACCCUAAGUCUUGACCCUCACUUGGCUUAUACAAGUCUUUAUACACCAUGGAUAUUGACCAUGCCAUUGGGGACUCCUAAAAUCCAAAGUUUGUUCAUACCCUAUACCCUUUAAACAUCUCGAUUUAAUCCUUACAUCUCAAACCCUAAUUCAUUUGGCUUUGGUUUUUGAUGAAACUUGUGGCUUAAGAAACCCUAGCUUAGGGAUCCCUUGAUCAUUGGUAUUGCUCAUUUUGGACCAUCCAAUCACCCUAACAUUAAUUCAAAAUUAUUUUAUGUCCAUUACAAUCAAAACCCACCAUUUAAACAUACAUCUAAUCCAUGUUACAAGUAAUUGGUUUGUUCAUGGUUUUUCAACUUUCCAUGACUUGAUCCAUCCACCAAUUUGACCUAAAAUCAUUCCACAAAGGUCCAAAUCUUAUUUUACAUCAUUAUAUGAUCAUAUGAACUCAAAACAUUUAUCAUUGCGCCUUGGAAAUCAAGAAAUCAUAAAAUCCCCAAAUUAGGUCAUGUUGGUUGGUCACAUUUUGGCAAGAAUGGCAUAUGGGAAGUUCCAAACACCAUAACUUCCUUAUUUUUCAAGAUUUUUAAAUUAAACUUUGAGACAAAUGUCCUAAAUAACUCCCUUUCCAAUUUUGUUUCAAGGUCCAAGACCUAAUUCAGCGAGGGAGGGGUUCAAUUUUGCUAUUGUCCAAGUUGCUCCAACAUGCCCACCAUGCCCUAAAAUCAUAUCAUGACCACUACUUUGACACAUUUCCAUUUUCAAAACCUAAAACCUUUUGACAUUGUUCCUUUUUAAUUCAAUCAAGAUCAUGGAAAGGAAAAAUGGCCCAAAAUUGAGACCAAAUGCAUGGGCCAAGUUUAUUUCGCCUUGGUUCAAACAUGGAGGUUCUUCCUGAUGUGCAAGACAAACCACUUCAGGCAGAUUUUUCAAAUCCAUUCUCCAAGUCCUCAAACCUUUUCAAUCUAAUCCCAAUGGUACCCAAACACAUUGCAUAUGAUAUUAUGGUGUGAUUGAAGGUCAACUUGCAAUCCAAAACCUCACAAAUCAAAAAAUUUGAUCCCAUGUGCAAAUUCUGAUUUUUUCCCAAAAUGGCAGAAAGCAAAUUCUGCAGCAGACCAUCUCAAUGCCUUUGGUUAUUCCAAAUUAAUGCAAGGGACAAAAACCAACUUGUAUUUGGUGCAAACAAGCUCAGACCAUAUCCAUUCCAUGUUCCCCCAAGUCAAUCCCAAGCAUGCUUCGAGCCACAUGUGGUUUCUGAUGAAACCUCCAUAUUCUCCUUCCAAAACCAUCCACACAGCUUCCCUAUAAAUAGGUGAAGGUGUUCCAUCAGAAAAACAAGCUUCAAAGGCCCUAAAACCUCUACUAAACUUUUCACUUCAAGCUUCAAAAACAUAACAUCGUGUUUUGAGUUUCCAAGUGUUUCAUCUUCAAACAACCACCCAGAAACCUUCACCGACCAUCAUACAAACUUUCCAAACACCUAACUUCCCUUCCCCAAACCUCACUUGAAUUAAGCCAUACCAUUGGAAAUCCUCCCUGAGCUGUUUCCGAUCAGGUAGGUUUCUUCACCGCCAUCAUCCAAACAAGUUACCAUCCCCCUCAAAAUGAUCCUCUGAUGAUUUCCCCUAAGUUUCCAGCUUUGAUUACUCGGUGUUUAGCAUUUAAUUUUUAAUCUAUGUCAAGUUCAUCUUUCUGGUUUGUGAGAGAUAACUCUACACUCAGAGCCAAUCAAUGGCUCGUGAGUGUGGAGGAUGAUUUUAUGUUUAUGUAAUAAGAUUCCAUGAAAAAAUCUGAUUGAAAUUGCUUAUUUCCAAGUUUUGAUUUUCAAAAAUCUUGAGGUUGAAGACGACACUGAGGUCGUUGCUUCGUGUGAGAUUCAAAGUCAAACAAAAAUCGUGUCUCACUGUGAUUGAUGGGCUAGUGUGCGAGUUCGUUUUUAAACAUUGUUUUAAUAUUUUAUUGUUUCGAUAUGGUUGGUUGACACCACCAAGCUUGUGGCCUAGUGGGAGAGGGGGUUAAUCCCCCCAUGACCCUAAGGUCAGGGGUUCACUCCCCAGCGUGUGCAAACCCUCAUUUAUUUUUCACUUGUUAUUCUUAUUAUUAUUUUUUUCAUUUUCCUUCCAUUUUGAGUUAUUUUUUAACUCUUUCAUUUUUAUUAUUUUGCAAAUAUGUUGAAUAUAAACUCUCAUUAUUUUUGUCUAUAGAAUUAAUUAGUGACUUGUUUUAUUUCAUUUGAGUUAUUUAUGGUGGACUUAUGGAGUCUUGAACUCAUGGACUAAUGAAAUCUACAUAGGUCAUAAUUUAUUUAGUUUAGGGUUGAUUAAAACCUUCCAUACUUCAAACCUACCAUUGAAUGACAAAGUGUUCAUCCAUGGUACUUUGAAUCAUGAUAUGUUACCCUUACUUCAAAUAACUUGGGUCAUUUGACUUAUGGAUGAAGUCUUACUUGUGCACUUAUUAACUUGUGAUUUCAUCUAAUACAUUAUCAUUUCACUUGGUUUAUACUGACCCACUGAUACAUUAAUAACAUUAUAUUCAUUUGUUUAUACCAUAUGCUAACCCUUAUUAUCUGGUUAAUAAUAUGCAUUGUCCAUAACUUAACCUAACUUCACUAACUUUUGAUUAUUAAUAACCCUUUGUUAUUAUUAUCAUUGUUAUUAUCCAUUGUUAUUUACUUUUAUGUCAUUUACAUUUAAGUACCCAUCAUCAUCAUAUUCAUUGUGUAAACUUCAUCAUGCACACUUUAUCAUUUGUCUUUACUUUAUUGUUAUCAUACACUUAAAAACAACAAAAACAUGAUAAAAUUAUAAGACCAAAAACAAUCCAUUUACUUAAUCCACUUGGACUUAGAGGAUCCCAUACUAGGACCUUUGCUUGGAGGCCUUUCCUAUUACUCUUUUGUGAUACUUUGUUACAAACUUUGGGUUUCAUAUGUACUUACAUUCCGGUUGUAAGAAUGACAUCAUGACACCACCUUAGGGGGAUAUGUUUAUAAUACCAUUAUCCUUUGUUUAACUUAGGUCAUUUUUGCACACACAAGGCUUUCUCUUGGGCUACCUCACAACGAGACCCUUUAUUUUCUUGUUGGUUACCUUGCAUUCGUGUUGUAUAAGCCAAAUUUCUCAAUCAAAUAAACAAACCCUUGAUUCAACGUCAAGUGGAUUUUUCUUAAUCAAAUUCAAAACACUUAAUAACCACAAUUAGUAUCAUGCGCCACAAGCCUUAAAUGGUUAAGAAUGAGUGAGAAUGGAGCAUUCAUGCCCUCACUUUGAUUAUUUCGGACGCGAGAUGCUUGGCCUGUUGUCUAGAAUAUUCACCUUUACCCCUAGACUUUAGUGCAAUCUAAUCACAAACUAUUUUCAUAAACCCUUGUUUAAGGUAAAAUCAACACAGCCCAUCAAAACUAAUUUUUGUGCCUUAGGGCACCCACCCCGAAAACUCUUUUCUCAAAGGUAAAAUCAAUCAAACACACAAAUAUUUUCUACUCCGAACUACGAAGCUCUGAUUCCUCAUCCUUGAUGAGUGAUACGUAGGAACAAGGGCCACAAUCCUUGGCGAGCACCACAAUAAUAAAAAAUCAAAACCCCUAUCUUUCACACACAUAUUCUUUUGAAACUAAAACAAUAAUGAGAUAAAUCCCCAUGAACAUAAACAACCCAAAUGGUUCCCAGUGAAGACCAUGGACGUGAGGGGUGCUAAUACCUUCCCUUUGCGUAAUUGACUCCCGAACUCAAAUCUCGGUUGCGAGAUUGAUUCCUUAUCCUUUUCUAGCGCUUCCCGUGCGCUUAUCUUUCUCGAUGGUUUUAUCGACUAUUUCCCCUUGCCUCUUAGAUAGAGGCACACAAAUAAAAUUUGAUGGCAACUAUUCUAUUUUGCCUUCUCUCUUUGAUUGAGGAGGCAUUCAUUAGUUCAAAGUCCCGGUUUUCAUAAUCGCGUUUAACCCCGGUAGUGACAACUAGUAUUAUCACGAAUUAUCAAAAUACAUUGAAGUUUAGUAUUGAAGUCAAGUAAUUGUUGUUUGAGCCAUAACAUUUGAGCACAAUAACUCCGGCUACGAUGUAUUCCGCCUUGGCAGUUGACAAAGAAACAUAGACUUGUUUCUUGUUAUGCCAACUAACUAAGGAGUUUAAAAAUAUGUUGCAAGUUCCACUAGUAAUUUUCUUAUUCGAUUUACAACUAGAAAAAUCAGAAUCAGAGUAACCAACAAAACUACAAUUGCUACCUCUGGAAAAUCAAAACCCAUACUUGGAUGUACCAUGAAGAUAUCUAAGGAUGCGCUUUACAAUUUUUAAAUGUGAUUCCUUAUGAGCGGAUUAAUAUCGAGAUCACAUGCAUACACUAAAUAUAAUGUCAUGCCUAGAUACAGUAAGAUAUAAGAGUGAUCUAAUCAUACCUCUAUACCUUUUAAUGUCAACAUCCUUACCAUUUUCAUCUCUAUCCAAGUUUUUGUUUGUGGGCAUUGGAGUGUUAAUUGACUUUACAUCUACCAUUCCGAAGCGUUUAAGAAACUCUUGGAAAUAAUUUGUUUGACAAACAAAUGUCCUUUCUUUGAGCUUCUAGAUUUGAAGUCCAAGAAAGUAAUUCAAUUCUCCCAUUAGACUCAUCUCAAAUUCACCCUACAUAAGCCUAGAAAACUCUUUGACCAAUUGCAUGAUAGUAGAACCAAAUAUGAUGUCAUCAACAUAAAUUUGAACUAGAAGAGAAUGUUUUCCUUGACAUUUAAUGAAAAGUGUUGUAUCUACAUUCCCUCUAGAGUGUCCUUGAUCAAGUAAGAACUUACUAAGUCGCUCAUACCAAGCCGUAGGGGCUUGUUUGAGACCAUACAAAGCUCGUUUUAGUUAAAAACAUGAUUAGGAUACUCAUGAUUUUCAAAACUGGGAGGUUGUGAAACAUACACUUCCUCAUUUACAUAACCAUUAAGGAAAGCACUUUUCACGUCCAUUUGAAAUCUUUGGAGCAUGCAUAAGCUAGUAAAAGUCAUAUAACCUUAAGGCAGGCAACCAUAUCAUAUGUUUCCUCAUAAUUUAUGCACUCCUCUUGGUUAUAUUCUUAAGUCAUUAGUCGGUCCUUAUUCCUAGUUAUCGCCCAAUUUUCAUCUAGUUUAUUUCCAAAAACCACUUAGUACCAAUGAUUUGAUGAUCUCACGGAAGUGGGACAAGGUCCCACACAUAAUUUCUUUUAGGCUUAAUUGCAAUUUUGGACUCCCUAUUUUAUAUUUUUUGGACUUUGGUCCCUCCAUUUUAAAAAUCAUGAUUUUGGUCCCUUGUUUAAGUUUUAUGUUGGAUUUUUGGUCCCUAUUUGGGGACUAAAAUCCAACCUAAAAACUUAAAAGAUGGACCAAAACCGUGGUUUUUAAAAUGGGGGAUCAAAAUAAAAAAACUAAAAUCGGGGGACCAAAGUUGAAAUUAAGCCUUUCUUUUAAAUUGAUUUAGCUCAUCUUGCACGACUAUUAGCCAAUAUUCAUCAAUUAAGGCAUCGCUUACGUUGUUAGGUUACACUUGUGAAACGAAUGCAAAGUGAAAACAAAAAUUACAUUUUUAAAGUGUGUUGUCAUGCCUUUGGUGAUGUCUCCAAAAAUAUUGUCGAUUGGAUGGUCUUUGGAAUACCUCCAAGCCAAAGGAAAAUCAUCCAUUUUAGUUGGACUCUCACCCAUAUCCUUUUUAGGAUUGACAUCUUCCUCCUCCUCAAGUUUUACCACUUCAGGUUGAUCAAUUCUUUUUUUUUUGUCUGUGAGUGUGUCUUAUGAAGACACACAUGCAUCAUGAAAAGAAAUACCUUUCCUGGCAUUUCUCAUAUAAGAUUUAACAAAAGUAACAUGAACAUACUCCUCAACAGUAAGUAAUCUCUUAUUGUACAUGAUCCAAAAAAUAACAAGUGCAUUAUUUUGCCUUUGUAGUAAUAAUGAAGAAAGUUCCCCGAAUAUCAAUCUCAAGGACUGGUUGUAAAUAUUAAGUUCUAAUUGUUGUUCAAUUAAACAAAAACUAAUGUUGGGGUUUUUUGAUGCAAAUAUAUAAAAAUAAUUUCAAAUAACAUAAAUAGUGCUGAGAAUGAGUUUGAAAGAU
RNAcentral lists this long non-coding RNA (66892 nucleotides) under Lathyrus oleraceus (garden pea). RNAcentral's name for it is "Pisum sativum (pea) long non-coding RNA (PSAT_LNC009989)". The record is from RNAcentral. Lineage: Eukaryota; Viridiplantae; Streptophyta; Magnoliopsida; Fabales; Fabaceae.